CCAUGGGGACGGGGCUGUUCCCGGGGAGGCUGUGAUGGGUUGACAGGUGCGUGACAGUGGGAGCUGCUCUCGGCACAAGCAUGUACGGCAAAGGCAAGAGUAACAGCAGCGCCGUCCCGUCCGACAGCCAGGCCCGGGAGAAGUAAGUGUCUCCGCUUCUCACCCACCUCCGCCUUCACACGCGCGCACACUCACGCACGCUCUCGCACACUCUCUGGGAGACACACAGACACACAGACACUCUCCGCCCGGGGAGAGCCGGGGGUGGGCUGGCAGGGGGAGGGGUGUGCGAGGUGGGGGCGUGUGGUGCGGGGAGCGGCUGUUUCUCAGGAGGUGCUGGCUCGGGGCGGGCGGCCGUGGGGGGCUGUCGGGAGGGAAGCGAGUAUGUUGGGGGGCGGCGGCGGUACUGGUGCUGAGGAUGUAAACUUGUUUGGGUGAUUGAGGGAAAUAACCAGCGGGUUCACCUCCCCACAAAGUAACUUUAGAGCUGGGGUCCGGGGCUGCGGGGACCUGGAGAGCCGCCGGGGGUCGCGGGGAGGGGGCAGCUGCGUGGAGGAGGGCGCACGGUGGUAAUGUGGUGCCCGGCGGAGCGGGCUGGGGUCUCAGCUGGCGGCUCCUGGAGCGCGGCGCUGGAGCCCCGGCGCCGGGGCUCGGGGCCGGGAGCGCAGGGCGAGGCGAGGGCGGCGGUGCCGGGCGCGCGGCGGGCGGAAGCUGGGCGCAGAGCGGCCGAGCGGGGCCCCGCGGGGCGCGGAGGCGCGCGCGGGGCACUAAGGGCGUGUGCGGGCGUGGACCCGGUGGGCGUCGGGGCUUUUCCCAACUGGCGGAUCCCGCGCGACGUCUGCUUUGCCUAGUGUUUCGGGCAGUGGGGCCGGGGCUGGGGUGGGUGGGCGCGAGGGACACUGCUGAAGUUUGGGAGUCAGAGAAGGACCGAGUUCCCGGGGAGAAAAAGUGUGCUGGCUAGGAGAGGGAUCUGCUGGAGGAGGCUGGCAUUUCCGCUUCUCGCUGCAGACCCAACUCCGCAGUAGCGGCGACUGGAGAACUUUUUGUGGAGACUUGCUGCCUUCCGAACGUCGGGGGCCCCUGGUGGGCAGCUGGCGGGGCGGUCCCUGCGGGGCGGUGGUCCUGGGGCAAGCCGAAGGGGAGUUGUGUGAGCCGCAGCUCCGCCGCGAAGAGGGCUUUCUGCAGUAGGCAGGAGAGGCAACAAUCGGAAAAGGGGUUUUUAGGGAGGAGAGAAACGCUGAGGUGGGCAGAAGCUGCUUGGUUGGGGUAGUGGGGAGAUACAGGUGUUAACUUCGGUGGGAACCCAAGAGGAGGCUGGCCAGAAAAGAGCCCCUCCCGGCCAGGGAUGCCACCGUCACGGCACACUGCAAAGCAGGGUUGUUUGCUGCUAUUCUUGUGUACUUGUAACGGUGAUUUGGUUGUUACUAAAAAUGAGAGCGAAUAGUGACUGUGACUACUGAGGAAGAACCCCCCCGCCAGCCCCGCCGCCUUUUAUUUUUCUGUGUAGCAGAUCAAACUGAUUCCCAGUAACCGCCUCAACUCUUGAGGGUCAGGCUUAUCCUUGUCAUUGAAUGCACUCUAUUUUUCGGAGGGGGUGCAGACUGGGGGAAAGUCUGAGAGCAUCACUCCGAGGUACUUUGGGUACCUUGCUCACAGAAAUAGCUGCUUAAAUAAAAACCUAAUGUGCAGACAGACGACUAAGUUUCCCUCCUUGCUUUGGGCAGUUUUCCCCUGAAAGUUUGUUGUGCCCCAGGGAUGGGAACAUUUCCUAAUCUUCAUGUUGGCAUCAACAUACACAAUUCCCAUAGGAUUUAGGGGUGGCAGGCCUUGAUGUAGCAAAACAAAACAAAGCAAAAAACCAAAAAACAAAAACAAAAAAAGGGAGAGAUGCUGUUAUUUUUUAGACCUAUUUUUUAGAUCCGAACCUUGUUGCUCUGACAAGGAAUGUAUAAGAGUCACAGCAUUAUUGCCUGAUUUAAGACACAGCAUUUAACUGAAGUUGAAGUUUUGAAUUACAGACUAAUUUGUGUGCAUUAAUCAUUUGGUUAUAUGAUAAAAAUAUCUUAAGGAAGAUGUUUAAUGAUUACAGAAUAUUUGGAUUUCACAUUACUGGGGGUGAAGAAAUUGAAAUUUAAUGAAGCAUAAUCUUAUUUAUUUUGAGGUGAUUGAAUUUGAGAAUCAAAGUAAUUUUGGAUUUUAGCUGGACUCCUGGGAGGGGGUAAAUUUUGACUCAAUCUAAUUUGUAUCCUGAUGACUUUGUAAAUUUGCUGAUUAUAACAAGGAAGUUGGACCUAGUGUGUUCUGUGGUCCUUUCUAGCUCUAAUUCUGUGAUUCUGUUAUGAAAACAAAUUGCCACUUUUGUUGUCAUAUCUACCAAACUGAACAUCAAGUAACAUCCACUCUUAUGAGCAAAGUGAUGAGGGUUCUGCUAGAUGGUGCUAUUUGAUUUAAAUAUAUUUUUUCCAUUCAUUACAAUUGGCAGAAGGAAUUCUUGACUGACUUACUUUAUAAACUAAAUAUACGUGAAGAGGCCACUUUUGGAGAAUUAACAAAGACUAUUCUGGGUUAAUUGUUUUGAAUUAAUUUAUAGGUGAAUGUUAGAAGACAAACAUUGAGGUAAUUCUGUUUUAUAGAACAUAGUUGGUGGGAAGAAUUGAUCUGAUUACCCAGUUUUCCCUGUUAUGGUUACUUGGGACUUUGAUGGCACUAUUCUACAUCAAUGUACUAGUUUCUGAAGUUAGGAAUCUUGAAGGUAUCUUUAAAAAGGAUGUUACAAUUUUUUGUUACUAAUUUUUUUUUAAGGUGGCAGAUUUUAAAAGGUGGUCAAGUGAUGAAUUCUCCUUUAGUAAGCAAAUUAGAACUGUUGUGAUAUUUAAAUUACAGAAAUAAUUUGUUUUUCAUUAAUAAGUAAUAUACACCGCAAUAAAAAGAUCCUGAAAAAUGAAUUGUCCCGAAUCAUGGCAUACACAUUCAAUAAACAUUGGUUUUAUAACCUAUCAAGAAAUACAUUUUCUCACAAGUUUAUAGGGAAUAGCUAAGCACUUACCUAUAUGAUAUCUUAGCUUUUUCUUGAACUAAAAAGUCAUUGUGGAACUGGGGAUGUAGCUCAGUGGUAGAGUGCUUGCCACACAUGAGUGAUCCCCUGGGUUCAAUCCUCAGCACAGCAAAAAACAAACAAACAAAAAACCGCUAUAUAAAAUAUUUGAAAUUUAUUUGUAGAUUUCAUACACAGUUUCUAAAAUUUUACUUUGCAGUCCUGAACAUAAAAAUGGCCUGGGCAGGUUAAUUACUUAUUUUGUUGUUUUAAAAAACAAACAGAUCAAGUCUAUUCAAAGUCUUGGAUUAGGUUUAAUUAGAGAGGGAGUGAUUGAAAACCUUGAAGGGAGGUGGUAUGUUUGCAUAGAAAUUUUAAUUCUGAUCUUGUUAGGUCAUUUCCUGCUUUAGCACACUUUCUUUACAACAUUGAUCAUGAUGGUAAUUAAAUAACUGUGUAAUUGCCUGUUUAAUGUCUUGCUUUUCCUAAAAUGUAAGUUUCUUGAGAGUAGGGGACUAAUUUCUUCUAAUUUUUAAUUUCUUCUCUAAGGUAUCUUUGAUAUUAAGAGAAAUACUUCUAAUAUUGAAAGACCAAAUAAAUUCUUGUAAAUGAAAAUGUUAGACUUAAAGGAAGUUUUUCAGUGACAUCCAAGAAAAUGUCAUAAGUUUGAGUUAACAUUUUCUAGCUUAGUCCUAUUUCAAAAAUACCCCCAAACAAUAGUGUUCUCUAGCUUAGUUGUAUUUCAGAAAUGCCCCCCCAAAAUAAUACAACCAAAGUAACUUAAUUUAUUUGUUAUCGUAUGUGCUAGUCGUUGUGUUCAGUGCUUUUUAUGUUUAUUUUCUCUAAUUCUCCCAACAAAGCUUCAAGAUACGUGAUUUCUUUUUUUCUCCAUUGAAGAAAUAAGAAAACUGGAGACCCUGGGUUGUAAAAUAAAUGCAUAUACUGCUAGAUAUGCUACUGGAAAACAAGCUGGAUUUCUAACACAGAUUUCUCUAACUUUAGAAUCUAUGGUUGACGCUGAAGAAUACAUUUUUCAGUGUACCAGAUUGCCUUCCUGAUCUAGGGUAGGAUGCUACAGAUUUAGGGAAUAGCAUUACAUAAUCAGAUAUAACAGACUUUAAAGAUUUGAUCAGAUAUGCACUCUUAAUCAUUGGUGCACCCAGAUGCUUAUACCCUCCAUUUUGGUAGACUGAAGAAAUGUGUGUGGUUGUGGGGAAGGCAUAGAAAUCUUAGGAGUGAAAGUUGGAAACCCAGAAUAAUGAAGAAUCUUUGUUCCUUUCUUUCCAGGAAUUUUGUUUGACCAUUUAGGUUUUUAAAUUAAUUAUAAUAGUUGUAAACAAGUCCUGUAUGAAAAAUAUUGCUGAACUUUAAGCCAUGCAGUAUGCCAUCUAGGAAAAAGUAACUGGCAGCUGCAAAUAGAUGGGUAGUGAUGUUAAUUUUUUAUUAAACUAAUUUGGUCUUUAACAUUUUGUAAUAGCACUGAAAGAGGAAUGUGCUAGAAAGAAAAGUUGUUUAUAAGAUAAACAUAGUUGACAGUGACAUUUAUUAUGUAAACUAGCCUAAAUUACAACAAACUGUAUAUCUAACCUGGGGCUUUGAAAAAUAACUUUGGCUUUUAAAGAUUGGUGAUUUUUGUAGGACAUACCUGGAUACAAAUACCAUAUGCUCAUUUUUGAACAGUUAUAAUCAAAAGAACAUUUAAAUACCACUCCAUGUAAGAGUUUAUUGAGAUUAGUACCUGCCAACAUCACCUUAUUCUCUCCCCACCUUUCAUCCUUAAAGCAACCCUAUCAAAUAAAACUUGAUAUCUUUCUUUCUGAAAGAAAUAAAGCAAAUGAAGUAUUACAAAUCUCUCCAGAAACUUGUUUGAUGAGCAAUGUACACAAUUCAAGAUUUCUAAAAUAGAGGAAGCAAUAUCUUUAUGGGAAUGAAAUUUCCUACAAUAUGUUGACUCUUCCAACUAUGAAAUCUUUCCUCCAAAAUACUGAACAAUUUGUAUCUGAGAUGUCAGCUGUGAGAUUUUUUUUUCCCCUUCUGAUUGAUGUCUUUCCUGUUAUUUAAAGAGAAGGUUCUCCCUUUGCCCCCCUUGGGAUUUGAACCUAGGGCCUUAUAUAUGCUAGGCAAGUGCUACUGAGCUAUGUUCCAAGCCCAGACUUUUUUCCUGAAGAAAUAAAUCUAAAAAAGAGACUGUGUAAGAUAUUGAAACUUAAAUUUUAGUAUUUAUAAAGAGAUUUAUUGUCAUCCUUAGAAAUAGUAUUAUAAACUGGGCAUGGUGGCGAAGGCCAAUAAUCUCAGCAAUUUAGGUGGCAGAGGCAGGAGGAUCACAAAUUGGAGGCCAGUCUCAGCAAUUUAGUGAGGCUCUAAGCAAAUUUAGCAAGACCCUGUCUCAAAGAAUAAUAAAAUGGUCUGAGGAUCUAGCUUAGUGGUAAAAUACCCGUGGGUUCAAUCUCUAAUACUCCCCUCCCCAAACCCUGCCAAAACUCAGAAAUAGUGUUAUAAGUAUGCUGUACUUUGAGAACUGUGUAUGUGUGUGGGGGGGUGGGGGGGGAGGGGUUAUUCCCAUACUUUGAAAGCCAGUUUGCCCAUAAAACUAAUUUGGGUGAAAAAAAUUUGUAGUCCUGAAGUAGUAGAACAAAUGUGUCUUUAUCAUCAUCAGUUACUACCAGAAAACAGAAUUAUUUUGACUUAAUUGAAAAUACUCCAUGGGGCAGGAGCUGGAACACCCACUUUGUUGUUGAUUAAUAUUUUAUCUUAAUAGUUUCAAGUUAGAAGUAAAAUUUGGAGGGAAAAAAACCCCAAUUUGAAUUUAGAUUUUCCUUCUAUGGCGAUCACCAUUACAUUAGUGUUGGAAUAGGUUUAGGACCCAGAACACUGAGUUUGAAAGAUAUGAAACUACUGCUGGAAAUAUGUAAUUUAAAAAUAAAUAGUUAUAAUUUUAUUUUGGAAUACAUGGUAUUCUCUACCAUUAUGUGUACAUUAUUACUUUGACAUUGAUGUGGGAAUAACAUUAAAUACUAGUGACAUAUCAUUUACUAACAUUUAAGCCUCUAUAAACAUGCCAAAAUAUUAAGAUGUUAGUCUAAAAAGAUGAUCUUAAAAUAGCAUUGGAGCUUGUUCAGUGGCACACACCUGUAAUCCCAGUGGCUCAGGAGGCUAAGGCAGGAGGAUUGCAAGUUCAGAGCCAGCCUCAGCAAAAGCAAGGUGCUAAGCAACUCAGUGAGACCUUGUCUCUAAAUAAAAUACAAAAUAGGGCUGAGGAUGUGUCUCAGUGGCUGAAUGCCCCUGAGUUCAAUCUUUGGUACUCUCCCCCCACCAAAUAGCAUUGGAGUAAAGAAUAAGAUGUAUUUGUUAAUAUCUGAAGAGUCUGGAGUAAAAAUUAAAUGAUGAUAUUAUUCAGACUUUAGACUUUGCUUAUCAGAUUUUGUAUGUAUUUUACAUAUAUAACAUCUGUUCAUGUUCAUGUAAGGCUUUUUAAACUUAUAUAAUUUAACUAGGACUACGACAGUUCUCUUAAUUAUUACACAAAAACCCCCAUGUAUUCUAUGAAAGGUGACAUGAAGGGUGGCGCACCAAGAUUAAGAUUCUUCCUGUUUUUAGUAAUAUUAAAUAGCAGGGGCUGGGGCUGUGGCUCAGUGGUAGAACCCAGGGCCUCACGCAUGCCCACCUCAGCACCACAUAAAAAUAGAUAUUGUUUCCAACUACAACUAAAAUAUAUAUAUGUGUAUGUAUGUGUGUGUGUGUGUAUAUAUAUAUACAUAUAUAUAUAUAUAUAAUUUAAAAACAUAGCAGAGAGUGUUCUUAGCUUUCCCAAACUGUUAUAUCUCAUUCAAUAUUUUCAAUGUGAAAACAUUGAAAAACAAGUAGAAAAUGGACUACACAGGGAAGAAUAGAGUUUUUCCACAUAAUUUUUAAGUCUACCUUGGUCAAAAUGAGUGAAUAAUUUUUGGCAGUAAAUUCAUGGUUAAAGAUUUUUGAAAAGGGGAGCUACUGUUUUUGUAAUAAUUGCAGAACUAAAAAUUUAUCUGGAUCAGCCUGGAUAGUAUUAAUGUAGUGGUGGUAUUAAUAUUUCUAUUUUUUGCUCAUCUUUUAAAGGAAAAACUUAAGUUAGUAUUAGCUUGUGAGGUACUGGGUUUGAUUCUCAGCACCACAUAUAAAUAAGUGAAAAAAAGAAAGUCCAUCACCAUCUAAAAAAUAUUUUUAAAGAAGAAUUUUGAUUGUUGCAUUUCAUGUAGGACCCUAAGUAGCUUUGAGACCAAUAAUGAGCCAUCAUAAUAUUUUAGUUCGCAAUUCAGCUAGAGUGAACCAAUGACCUGGCAAAUUCCUAUUUUUGAUCUUCUGUAUUAAUUUUGCUUCAUGGACGUAAUGUCAUAAAGUAGUUCAGCAUAGAAAAUAUUGUAGACUGAAGUAUAGCAUUCUGUUAUUCUUUUUCUGCUCUUAAAGAUUUUUUUCUCAGUAAUAGUAGGUAUUGAAGGGUAUAUUUUAAUUACUAAUAUAGCUGUAAUUUUAGUUUCCAAUCCAAGACAGAAAUUUAAUACAGUAUUAAAAUACUGAUGAAAUAUUUGUGAAGACAAGAAUAGAAGGUGGAAAUUUAUAUGUGAUACUGUCCACUUAAGUUAAAAUAGUUGAUGCAUCAAAACAGGCUUUCCUCUGAAAUUAUUAAUAUGGUUAUUUCUUUUUUAUUUUAGAUAACUCCAGACUUGGGGAGAGAGGGGGGAGAGGAGAGCUAUUUUAUCGACAGAAGAAAUUGACAUAAAUUAUUGCAAUAAAAUGAUCUCAUGAGGCUGGGUGCAAUAGUGCACACCUGUAGUCUCAGCUGCUUGGGCAGCUGAGGAGUUGGACACGAACCUUGGCAACUCCUCCCCAAACAAGAAAACAAAACAUCAACAAAAAGCAAAAUACCCCCCCCCCCAAACAAAUCCAACAAUGAUCUUAGAGAGGCAGAAUUAAAAUAACAAUAUCCUAAAUACUCUAUAAUGAAUUUGUUGAGUUUGUCAUAGAAUGUUAUUAAUAGUAACAAUAAUAGCAAUGCUUUCAUUUAAGAAUUUUGUUUACAUUUGGUACUUUAUAUCUUUUAAUCCCUUCAAAAAUACUGUUUUCUCUUAAUGUUACAGAAGAAACAGGCUUAAGAGUUUAUUACAGCUUUGGCUGCAAAUAUCAGAACAGGAGAUAAAAAAAUGGCUUAAUUGAUCAGGUUUAAAAAUAAAUCUUAAUAGAAUGAAGAUAUAUGAAAGUGGCAAUUCCAGAUAUGCUUAAGUGAAUCAAGAACAUCAGGGUUCAGGAUCAGCUUCUCUGCCAUCCUUGUGGUCUUCCUGUUGUGACUGUAACAUGGCUGCUUCAGGUUCCCAGCAUCACUUCUCUCACAGACUAGUAUAAAAUCAGGAGGAAGAGACAAGUUUUCCCUUCUUCAUGUCUCAUCAGUCAGGAAGGAAAACCUAUUCUUGUAUUAGGAGAUCUCUUCUUAUGCCUUAUUAGAAAGAACUGUAAAAUUCCUCCCGCUACACCAAUUACUGGCAAAGGUAAUGGUAUUACCAUAAUUGGCUUAAAUCAGUCAUUGUUUAUCCCCUGGGCUAGAAACAUUGCUCCCCUGUACCUGAACUACCUAAACAAUACUUGGAGUCUUUAGCAAGGACGAUGUAUCUUGAGUAGAGUAAAAUGGGUCUCUGCUUUCAUGGAGCUUUCACAUUUGUAGGAGAAAUAUAUAAGCAAAUAAAUGUACUAGGUAAAUUUGGAUAGUCAUAUAUGCUAUAAAGUAAUAAAAUAUGGGGGCUAUAGUAUAGAGAAUGACUGAGAAUCUACAGUAGAUUGGAUAGUUAGGGGAAGGUUCUUUGAGAAAAGACAUUUAAGUAGAGAUCUGACUAAUAUUGAAAGAAACAGCUAUGGGAAAGCCUUGAGGUUAGAGUGUUUCCAGCAGUUUAAAGCUACCAUUGAGGAAACUUUUUAAAAUGAGCAUAACUGCUCAAGGAUAUAUACAAUACCAGUGAAAGUUGGGAUGAAGAAGCUAUUCUUCCUUGGUUUUAUUUUUUACUGAGGAAUUGGAUGGUGGAUCCAGUUUUUCUGGUCCUCCUAGAUGGUAGGACUGAUUAUCUUUUAUCUCCUAAGCCCUCAGGAUACAGUUGUUUCUAAGGAAGACAGUGGGGUUUUUAUAAUGAUAUUGUUGGUAGAAAUAGUUAAGGUUUAUUGAAAGCCUCUUGGGGGCGGUGCUGGGGUUGUGGCUCAGUGGUAGAGCACUUGCCUAACAUGUGUGAGGUACUGGGUUUGGUCCUCAGCAACAUAUAUAAAUAAAUAAAAUAAAUGUAUUGUGUCCAUGUACAUCCAAAAAAAAAAAAAAAAAGUCUAUGGGGUUAGCAAAGAUGGUAUAGCUGGUGGCAUGGUUAUUUUGUCCUAAACCUCCCAGAUUGGAUUGGAUGCUUUUGUAGAAACCUCUGUUUUUCAUUUUUCAUGUCAAUUAUAAAUAGUGAAUAAUUUAUGUGAUGUUUUGUUUAAUGUCUUUCCUCAGAUUGGAAGCUCCAUACGGUUUAAGCAUUAUGCUGUCUAGUUCACCAUUGUAUUCCCAAUGCUUAGCACAGUGCUAGGAAUUGUUAUUAUAUGUUUGUGGAAUAAAUGAAUUAAGGAUGUAAUCAAUAAUAUGACAAAUGUCACAAAAGUCUAUUUUUCCCCUCAAUCUCCAGUUUUUGGUGCUUGGAUUAAUAUGUAAUUUCUAAAGAAGAUAUUUCUAAAAUAUAGGCAUAUAGUAGUCUCUGUGAAUUUCAGAACUAGGAGAGAGUACCUACUUAUAUUACCAUGAAACUGUGUGUUUUUCAUAUGAAUUUUUGAUAGACUACUUUGCUCAUAAACUUAAUAAUAUAAAUGAAAUUGUAUUACAGUUUUCAAGUUUUUUAAAUAUAGCUUAUUUUAAUUUAAUUUAAAUCUCAUAAUCCUGUGAAGUAGGUGAUAUCUUAAUUGAUUGUUAAGAUUUAUAAAUGAAAAUUUACUUACCCAGGUAGGAUAAUAUAGAUAUUAUAUGGUGGAGUUGAGCCAUAUUUAGAUGUUUUUGGUUCCAAGGUCAGUGUUCUUUUCAUUUUACUCUAGGUACCUCUUUUAUGAUGAGAGAUUAAUAUAUAUAUAUAUAUAUAUAUAUAUAUAUAUAUAUAUAUAUAUAUAUAUAUAUCUCAUUAAGAAUUUGAUUCAACAGAGAAUCAUAGAUUAGAUGUUAAAGUUUAUCAGUACUUUGAUUAAAAGAAAAUAUGUGUUAUAGUGUGUUAAACACAGUCCUAUACAAUAUUUAAUUCCAGAAGUGCCAUGUCUUGAAUAAAUUCUGAUUUUUAUUUGAAAUCCUUAUGCUCUUGUUAUGUAAAUUGGUCUGUGUAUGAUUUAGUAUAGUUUUAAGUUUCUGAUUUGUGAAGGCUCAGGAUAAAUUUUUUUUUUUUAAACCAAUGAACUCUUCUCUAUUCCUUUGCCAGUUAGCUUCAGUCUGGAGAGGUGGGGUCGGGAAAGAGAAAGAAAGGUUUUUUUUUUUUUCCCUUUCGUGCUUCUCUCUAAUAAGGUAGGGAAAGUCUUUCAAUAUGAAUUAUUGAUCACAUGUUCUUUUGUCCUGGUAAAAUAUGUAACAUAAAAUUUAGCACUUUAACUAUUUUUAGGUGUAUAGUUCAGUGAUAUUAAGUAUAUUCACAUUGUUGUACCCCUGUCUGCACUCUCCAGUUCUAGACCGUUUUUUCAUCCUCCUAAGCUGAAGCUGUAUACUCAUUAAACAAAAGCUUCCCACUCCUCGCUCUCCUUAGUUCUGGGCAACCACCAUUUUAUAUUCUUUUUUUAUGAAUUUGACUAUUCAAGGUACUUUAUACAUAUUUUCCCUUUUUUGGGACUGGCUGCUUUUCUUGCUUAAUCCCUACAGCAACUUCAUAAAGUAGAUGUAAUCCUGAUUUUACAUAUAGGAAAACUGAGUCUCAGAGGUUACAUAUCUUGUUCAGGGCCUCACAGUAAAUUGUAUAGCAUGUUUUCAAACUCCGGUUUCUGACUGUGCUGCCUAUUUUAGCCAUAGACUAGCCUAAGAAAAUUGAACUUCUUAAAUAGUUGGAUUUUGCCAGUUAGAAUUUAAAACUCAUUUUAAAAACUUGUUUAUUUUUAUAAUAGUAUACAUUUAUAUAUAUUUUAUAAGAUGAGAAUCCUAUUCAUCCUGCUUUAUACUAUCUCUCCAUUCCUGUAUUUAUUUAAAAAAAUGUGAACUGUCGAUGUUGGCCUCUGUUGAGCCCUCCUGAGUCAGAUCUGAAUAGCCCAGCAAUCUCUGCCCACCAGGAACUGACUCUCCAGAGGGGGAUCACUAUCAGCAAUUACCACACUGGGUAAAAAAGCACUGUAAUAGUUAUUCCAAAGAUGGUAUGAGAGUUUUGGAAAAGGGCACUGAAUCUACCCUAGGAGUCUUGAGUGUCAGGAGAUAUUUCUAAGGGGCUAUUUAUUAAAAGACAAACAUUAGGAAAAUUGAGGAGGGGUUACCUAAGGUGGGGAGAGAAUGUGUGGGGUUGGGGAGAGGAAUGAGAAAGAAAGUACAGAAAUACAAAGGCAUGAAGAGUGUGGUAUAUAGUCAUCCCUUGGUAUACUUGGUUCCAUGACCCCCAUGGAUACCAAAAUCUGCAGAUGCUCAAGUCCUUUAUGCAACAUGGUAUAGUAUUUGCAUAUAAUCUAUGCACAUCUUUCUGUGUACUGAAAAUCAUUUUCAGAUUACUUAUAAUACUAAUACAAUGUAAACAUUAUGCAAAUAGUUGUUAUGCUUUAUUGUUCAGGAAAUGAUGAGAAGAAAAAGAAAUCUGUACUUGUUUGGUAUAGAUGGAUUUUUUUUUUUUUGAAUGUUGUUGAGCUGUUUUUUGUUGAACCUGCAGAUGCAGAACCAGUUGGAUACAGAGGGCCAAAUGUAUUUGGUAAACUGCAAUAAAAUUGAUAUGAUUGGAUGUGCUGUAGAGGAUAUGUCUGGCAGGUUAAACAGGAACUAUUUAAAAUAUAACCUUGAAUGACAGCUUGACCUUGGAGGUAAAGAAUUUUAAGCAGAAAAGUUACAUCAUCUGAGGUGCAUUUUAGAAUAUUAAUUCUGGAAGUUAUAUGAAGGGUGGGACACAAGGGGAAACAGAUCUAACAGGAAACAUUGGUAAUAACUAAGCUGCUGUAACAAUAUAAAUGUGUUAGCUGUCAUCAUUCUUCUGCAUUAAUGCAGUACAUAUUUCAGGCUGUGGAAUAUAGGACCUGGGACCUAAAUGAAAAAAAUUAGGAAUUUUAAGAUGAUUAUAAUUGUUUUAGUCCCAGAUUUUGAGGGAAUAUAGGAGGAAGAAUAGGAAGGAAAAGAAGGCAGUUGAUGAGUUCAGUUUGAGGUGUUAUCCAGACCUAGAGAGAGAACAGUUUGGGAAGAAAUUUGUUAUGUAGUUUUUUUAGUUGAGAAAUCUAGGCUGGAGAUAAUGGAAUUGAGAGGCUGGGGACAGAGAAGUAACAUUUAUAAAUGUAAGGUGUUUGAGUUUUAAACAUUGUGCCAGGUACCUCAUGUAUUAUGUUUUAUUUCAUUUUGUUGAUGAGGAAACUAAGACUUCAGUAGGAUAAGUAAUUUAGACAAGUCACAUGUCAGAACCCAACUGUAAACUCAGUGUUAGCUUAUUCUUUCUUUUAAAAGAAUAACUUUAUUUUGAAAUAUGACAUUCAUAUAGAAAAAAAUGUAUAUAUCCUAGGUGUAUAGCUUGAUAAAUAUUCACUAACUGAAUACAGCAGUGUAACCAAGCAACCACAUCAAGAGAAAGGCUAUCACCAGCACUGUAGAAGCUUCACAUGUGCUCCCCACUCUGCCUGAACUUUUAACAGCAUAGAUUAGUUUUGUCUGAUUUUACCUCUUACAUAUCUGCUUCUGUCUUUUCCUUUGCAUUGUAUAUAAUUUGAAAGCAUGAGAUGGGAAUAAAGCCAUUUUUUCUUGGAAAUGUAUAGGGAGAAAGUGUGAAGAAAUCAAAGAUUUUGAGAGUUUGAGAUUGAGACCAAAAAGGAACACCAGAGAAAUAUGAAGAGUUCAUAAAAGAUUGGCAUCACAGUGAUCAAGAAAUGGGGGUUCUGAGAAUUGAGGUGUGAGUUACUAUGUCAGACACAGUAGAAUGAAUGAAGAGGUUUAAACAAGGGUUGAUGUUUUAAUUGAGAGGCCAACUUUGACCUUAGGGAUAUCAGUUUCAGUGGAGUGAACCCAAGUUAGCAUGCAGUGUUUUGAGAUGUGGAGAUAAAGUGAGGAAGAAAAGUCAACUAUGGAUAGUCUUCAGACUAACUACAAGGAAAUAAAGGGUUUUCUCUUUUUGUGUGUGUGUGGAGGGAUUUUUGCAUGUGGUGGGUAUUCUUUGUGGAAUGCCAUUUGGUUUUAUAAUUUUAGUAAAGAGGUUUUGUUAUUUUAGUAAAGUGUUUUUCAACUGCUUGGGACCAGUUUUUAAAAAAUUAUUAAAGGAUGACAAUAAUGGGAUGUUAUAGAGGACAUGGAAAGGAAGGAAGUCAGCAAGUGUUUUAGCUUUAGUAGUUAUUGAAAGUGACUGAGCAUGUACAUUUUAAAAAUGAUUUUUAGGAUAGAUUGCAUUGCUAACUUUUGUCAAUUAUUUUUUAAAAGCUUUUUGGAUCUUAUUAGAAUAAAGGGAUUAUUUCCAAGAGAUGACUGGGAAAUGACUGUAGUAUAGUUGAGAAAAUGAAAUUAUUAGCUGCGUUGUGGUUACCAAUCAGUAGGAUUAUUAGCUUUUAAAGCAAAAAUUUGGUGGAUUUUUUUUUGUCUCCACUGGUUACCAAACUUUAAUUCAUCCCUAUAGAACAGUAUCUCUAAAUUUCCUCUCUUCUAUUUAAAUUGGUAAAAGGGACACAUAAGAAUACUUGAGUAAGUAAAACCAUAACUCGCAGAAGCACAAAUUGACUUUGAUUGGCUUACCAGUACUUUUUAAAAUACUUUGUUAUUCAAGUAAUAAAUAUUCAAAGUAGAAAACUUCAAAAAUGUAGAGAAGCAAAAUAAAGAAUAUAAACUUAUAACCUUCCAGUAUUUUUUCGAUAUCCGUCCAUGCAUGGAAAAAUUUUACAUUAUUUUAUAAGAAAAAUAUCAAAAUUACUUGACCAAAAAGCACCCUUUUAAAUGUACCAAUUAAAGGGCAAAAGAAGGUAACAUAUGUGAACUUUUAUCAUUUUCCGUUCCCAUUAAAUACCUUCCUCAAAAACAAAAGUUAAAAAAAAGUUGUUUAAAUUCUAUCAUUAUUAACUCACUCUUUAAAUUCUCAUUCUGGGCCUGCUCUUUUCCAGGCACUGUACAAGGCAGUGGGGAUAUAACCGUGUGGGGACAAACCCUGCCAAGAGAAGUAAACAGGGUGUUUGGCAUAGGAACAGUUUGUGCUUGGGAGAGGUCCAGAAGUGAGAGAGUAGGAUCCUUUUAGAAACAGAAAGUUCAGUAGUGUUAUAGUGUGUAUGUUUCAGAGAGGGAUAUUUUGGAAAGGUGGUAAAGGUUACAGAGGUGAGCAACGGUUAAUUCUUGAAAGCCAGGCAAAGGCUUUGAGUUCCUCCUGAGGCCAGUGGUGUCCAUUCUGAGGUUUUUAAGGAGGGAAAGGACUUGAUCAGAUUUUACUUUCUAUCAUCCUGAAAAAAAGCAACAAGUAAUCUGAAAUGUUAAACAACAACAACAACAAAAUGCCGUUAUACCCAGAUAUGAUGAAACACAGAUGGACUGGUAAAUUUCUUUUGUCAUUUGUAACAGUAUAAACUUAUACUUAGAGGAAAGCAAAUACACAUAUAGCAAUGAUAUAAAUUUUGAUAUUAACUUUAUUUUUAUCUAAUAUUUUACUAUAAAAUUUGUAAUAUUGCUAUGUCAACAGGAAAGCUUAUAAAAUGUGUUUUAAAUUUAAAUUAUUUGUAAAAUGUGAAUUACUUACUAAGAACUAUUUCAUUAUUUAAAGUAUAUUUAAAUUAAAAAUGUAAGGUAUAAGUUAGAAAAAAUCCUGUAUGAUAUAUUACUAGUACAUAUAAAUUAUUAUAUAUAUUUAAAUCUCAUGACCAUUUUAUUAAAGCUUUGAAAAGCAGCUGAUAGUAUUUGGUUUGUCAUUUUUUUUUGUUAUAUAGUUAUAAAAGACAUAAUACAUCAAACAUUUUCAAUAUAUAUUUAAUAUAAUUUGCAACAUCUAAGAUGAGAUGAAUUAACCAAAGUUUGCAACCUUUAUUGUUCUAAUCAAAAUUCUUAAGUACUUUCAUUUCAUCAUUAGGUUAGCAUGCUGAUAUUCACUUAAAAUCAACAAUAAAGAUCAUGUGCAGCUCAAUUUACCAUUUUUCUUGAAUAAAGUGGCAUUUAUUUGAAAAACCUUCCAAAAAGGACAAUGAUAUUGAUACCAAUUUUAAAAUAAUCAGUUGUACAGGCGAGGUGAUGAUGGCACUGGCUUAAGAGUAUAGCAUUAUCUUAAAAUGUUUUCUUUAUAAAUACUCUUUGAAUAUAGGAAUCUUUCUACUAAUAAAUUCACGAGGCUUUAACAGACCAUUUCCCUUUGCUGGUUGAUAAUCUAUAUGGAAUGUAGUGAGAUUUGUUUGUAUUAUGCAUAUACUUCUCAUUAUCUACUUUGCUAGUCCUCUUGGCAAGGCUAUGAGCUUUGCAAGGUAUGAGAAUGGUAUAUGUGUUCAGGGACCUGCUGUCAUUUAGAACAGACCUGAGAGAGGGAGAUACUUAUAUCAAACUGCAAACUAAAGCCAAAAUGAAAAAUGUCUUAAUUUAGGUUUGUCAGCUCUUUAAGGCAUUAAAGAUUGCUUAGCAAUAUUUUGUAAUGUUGUCCUCAUCUAGACCCUGUUAAUAUGGAAAUUAACAUUUGUAAUUAUUUACAAAUUAAUUAAUGGCCUUUUAAUCUGUGUAUUUAAGAAAUUAUAAAAGCCAAAGAAGCAGGUACAAGUUGAUGUCACUUUUCCAUAUCAUCUGCCAGUUCAUGUAAGUACCUUUAACCUAGUAAAACAAAGGGUCUUGAAUCUUGAUUCUAAUCAGAAAAAUAUCAUCCUUAUGCCCAUUUACUUUCAAUGAAUAGGUAUUUAUGAUACAAUUUGCACUUUUCUGACAUUUGACUUUUUUUUUUUUUCCCAAAUAAAUGUAAGCCUGAUGAUGUUUUCUUUAAAAAAAAAAAUUUGGACUUCUUUUCCUUUGAUAGUUUCCUAUCUCCGCCCCCCCCCAUAUCUUAUAAACGUGGUCACAUUUUAUUCAAAACAGAAUGAGUUCAUUAAACCAAUACACAUUUGCCUUCUGGCCUAUCUUUUUAAAUGCAUGGACAUUUAACUAGUUUAAAUAAGUUCUGUUAGUAUUCAGGGCCCUUUUCAGAUAAAAAUAGCCACUAUGAGGCUUAUGGGAGAGCUUUCAGUUUCAUAAAUUAUAUUGCUACAGGCACUGUAUUGAGAAGGAAGUACUGUCUGACUGUGGCAUUUGGUCAUAUCAAGGUGAGUUAUAUAGAAGGGGAAAAGAAAUCAAUAAAAUAUAGGAUGAAUAAUUUCUUAGAUGUUAACAGAUAAUCUAUCAGCGAAAUUGGAGGGUUAAAAGAAAAAUUCUUGGGCCUGUUGGAUUUCAAAUAAUAUAAUCUGUGUAAUUAUUAAAAAAUCAACAUUAUGUGAGUUGUAUAGCUUAUUAGUGAGAAUACUUCAGUUUCAGGACUGAUUUUUCUACCUGUGUGGUUGUCUGGUGGUUUCUGACCUUCUCCUUUUAGCUGUUAUGUCUGAGAAUUCUUACAACCAUGAUUUACUGUGGCUAAGAGGCUUUUUUUUUGGUUGAAAGUCAUGGGAGCCCUCUCUAUUUCCUCUAUGUUUAUUAUUACGAGUUUCAAUUUAUUUUAUGUUCAGUGGAAUCCCAAUAUUGUUUGGGCCUUCCUUCUUUGUUAAUGUUGUUCUUUUAUUUUAUUUUUUUCUGUUGAUGAUUGAUAGUUUUUCAUCUUGCUGAUUAACACUACAAGGAGCUGAUAAAAUCUUUAUCUAUUAUUGGGAGAUUUGGGGCAUAUGUAUUUUGCCCAAGAAAGAAUGUUACAACACUUAACAAGUUUAUUAAAACAUGUUAUAAAUUCAAGUCUUUUGAAAUUAUACAAGUUAAAGAUCUUAUAACUUUGAAUUACUUUCAAAGACCUCUUUCUUUCUAAUUAUGGUAAGAUUGUUUAUUCAACAUUUUUAAAGGCAGAAAUUGAAUGUUUUUUGAAAGUACUGUUUUCUAAUCGUCUAAAAUAUGAGGAGAUCACUUACCAGUGGUGCACAAGACUUCUAAAACAGUUGAGCAGAGGGGAUGAAUUUUUUCUUUCUUUCUUUUUUUUUAAUGUUUUCUAGAAGGGAGAUAAGAUACUCUAGUGAUAUGUACAUCUUCAGAAACUAAUUUUUACCUGUAGCUAGGGUUUCUUUUAUGUCAAUCACUGAAAACAGUUGACAAAGCAAAGCAUACUACAUAUAAAAGUAGCCUUUAGAUUGCUUGUUUUACUUUUAUUUAUUUGCCUAUAUAAUUUAUUGUAAUUAUAAAUAGGGAAGUUCUUAUAAAAAACAACGAAACAGAGAAACAAGCACUUUGCCAUUCUGAUAGAUUAUGAUUUAGAGCUUAGUUCAAAAAAUUAAUAUUUUGAGAUUCCAUUUCAUCUUCAUAGUUUUGAUAGGAAACUGAACAUGUUAAAGCAAAACCAUUUAUUUAUAACUUUAAAGACAUUAUAUACAAGAUGCUAUGAGUAAAUUUAUAGAGUGCAUUGAUAUUACUAUUUAUUGCAUAUAUUGGACUCCAGGCUAUAAAUUAUUACAUCUCUGUUCUAUCAAAAUUACUAUUUUUUAUAAUGUUUAUGAUGAGGUAUUUAUACAUACUAUGGAUCAUGGAUUACCACUUUAUUUUUAUUUUUUAAAAUAUAUAUAUAUAUGUAUAUAUAUAUAUAUAUAUAUAUAUUUUAUAAAUGGACCUUUAUUUUACUUAUUUAUAUGUGGUGCUGAGAAUCAAACCCAGGGCCUCACACAUGCUAGGCAAGUGCUCUACCACUGAGCCACAAACCCAGCCCUACCACUUUAUUUUGAACAAGGGAAAAUGUGGUUUUCAUAUCUAGAAACUGAGAAAAAAGUGUUUACAAAAAUCAAAUGGUUUAAGAUCAUGUGCCAUUAUUUUUGCAUGUUUCUGAAAUAAAUUUAUUUUAUGAUUUUAAUUAUUUUUGAAGCUUUUUAAUGUAGCAUUUUAAAAAGAUUAUUAGUUAAGACAAUUUACAUAUAUGAAUAAGCAAUAAACCUUGAUUUGAUAGAAUACAUCAAAUCAAUGAACAUCUUAUGAAGCCAAGUUUAAGGCCUUGAAAUCCAAUGCUUCAAUGCCCUGCAGUGUUAAAACAGCAAGUUUUGUUCAUAUGAUUUGAUAAUUGAAAUGAGAACAGAAUUUUUCAUUUCUCCAUUUAAGUUAAUAUUAUGAUAGAAAAAUUCCAUUUAGGGUCUUAACUUAUUACCUUUCCAAUUUGUAUAUAACCAAAAAAGGAGAAAAAAAGCAAACUUUUGGGUAUUAUUUCUCCCAAGAAUCUUUAAAUAAAUGGUUCAUUGUUCUAAAAGGAUAGGCUUAGGGUAUCCUUUAACUUGGAUGAUAAUCUCUUCUGUAGAUGUGUUGAAACUUGGGACUAGAAGACAAACAUUAAUUGAACUUUAUUUGGAUAAAGUAAUUGAUUUUUUGUUUUAACCAUUCCUUACUAGAAUGGUUACUGGAACUUUUGAAGUAGAUGAGCAUUUUUUGCCUGAAGCUUAGUAAGGCAGCCAGGAAGUCUUUCCUCUUACUUGGUGUAAGUAAAGAUAACUUUUCCAUAAGAUAUUGCCAGAGAUUCAUUUGGUUUAACAGUUACAUGGACUGUUUUGUGAUUUCUUCUUGAGAACUAUAAUUCUACUCCAGGAAAAUAUUUGUCAUUUUAUUAUAAAUCUCUGGGUAUCUAAAAAAGAUAAAGAAUAUAUAAUUUCUUAGUAAACUACUAAAAUAUUUAAAUGACCCAAAACAUAAUGGUGUUAAACUGAUCCUCGUGCUGUCCCAUUGAAGUAAAUGUUAUAUUUUAUUUUAUGGACAAGGAAUCUGAGGCAAAAGCAAUUAGAAACUUAAGGUCAUACAAUUCAGUAUUUAUAGUCUCUUUUCUUGAACCCUGUUGCCAUUGAACAUUUAUUUAAUGAGUAUAGAGUUCAGUUUUGCAAGAUGAAAAAUUGAGAGAUCUGUUUUACAACAAUAUGAAUAAGCUUAACACAACUGAAUUGUAUACUUAAAAAUGGUUAAGAUGGUAAAUUUCAUAUUGUAUGCCCAAUUUAAAAAUUCUCUUAGAAGUGAUUUUCUUCUUUUUUUUUUUUAGUUGUAGUUGGACACAAUACCUUUAUUUUAUUUAUUUUUUUCUAUGUGGUGCUGAGGAUUGAACCUGGGGCUUCACAUGUACUAGAUGAGCACUUUACAGCUGAGCCACAAUCCCAGCCCCAGAAGUAAUUUUCUUACUUUCUUUCUUUUAAAUAUUUUUAGUUGUGGAUGGACAUAAUACCUUUAUUUAUUUAUUUUUAUGUGGUGCUGAGGAUUGAACUCAGUGCCUCACACAUGCUAGGCAGGUGCUCUACUGCCAACCACAACCCCAGCCCAGAAGUAAUUUCCUUUUUGUUUAUUUAUUUAAUAAAAAUUGAAUGAAAAAUAUACAGGCAGUAAAAUGUUCACCAUUUGACUCAUCUCAUUCAGUAUAAAACAACUUAAAUUUCAUCACUUAAGAGGAAACUUGAGUUUCUACUUAGUAUUGGGCUAAGAUAUAAGAAGUCUAAUUUUCUUUCCUUACUAUCAGAAGAUUAUACUUCUUUUAAAAAAAUCUAAUCGCUGAUGGAAUACUAAAAGAUAUAAAUCAGAAUGUGAUACCAGAGUAUAAGUGUAUUUUAGUUUGUCAUUCUGAAUGCAAAGUCCAUUUUUUAAAUUGAGAUAAUAAGCCUGCAGAAUUUUAGUUAUGGAUGUGUUUUCAACUAAGUAAAAUUUCUAAAUUUUUAAAGAUAUAGUUAUUCUGUAAUUGUUUUUCGGUAAUGAGAAUUUUUUGGGGGCGUACUGGGGUUUGAACUCAAAGGCUAAGUAACAUAUGCAUCACCUGAUCUAUCUACCACUUUUUGUGGUGAGACAUCUGAAUUUAUUCUUAGUUAUUUUGAAAUAUAUAGUCUUCAUUGAUCUUUAAAAAUAAUUAAAAAAUCAACUUCAUUUUCACAAGACACCAAAUUUAGUUUUUCAGUUAUAGCACUACUUGGGACCUUAAUUAUUGCAGGGAUUUAAUAAAUGUGUGGAUUUCAUUUGAUGUCACAAAUACCAAUUUGUAAAUGGGCUUGGAUAUUUGCAAAAGUUAAUUCAUGCUUGGAGCCUUUAUAUUUCAGAUGGUUUGGACAUAAAGCAAUCAAAAUCAAUUAUUUUUGUUAUAAAAGCAAUAAAAAAUGUAAUUUCUACUUAUUGGGAGAGACCGCUCCAAGUAUUAUAGCUUUUGAUACACAAUAUUAGUAUCAGGUAUUUUCUCCAUUGUAGUAAAGUAAAAGUUGAGACUAAAGGUAUUAAAUGAUUUGCACAGGGUUACUUGGCUGUUAUGUCAUUAUAUCAGGAAUAGUAUUGAAAACUUAUGACUCCUAGACCAGUGUUCUUUAUACCUGUUUUCAAACUUUGUUCUAGAAGGAACUACAAGAUGAAAUAUAGUACGAAAUGAGGACCGUAGAGACCACCGUAGAGUAGCUUCAUCAUUAAUGUUUUUAUAUAAUUGGCAUAAGAAAUGUUUCUUCCCCCUACCACUCCAUAAUGCUGCUUGGGGCUGGGGUUGUGGCUUGGUGGUAGAGUGCUUGCCUAGCAUGUGUGAGGCACAGGUUUCAAUCCUCAGCACCACAUAAAAAUAAAUAAAUAAAAUAAAGGUAUUGUGUCUAUCUACAACUAAUUUUUUUAAAUGAUACUGGUCCUUUCAGUAAAACUUUGAAAAAUUAUCGUACUGUAUAAUUGUUACUACAUUUGCUUCGGAAUGGAAGCUCUAAGUCAAAUUAAUCAGUGGUAACUCUGCAAAGGAAUAAGAAAAAAAAAGUCUGUUCCUGAAAUAUUUGGUGUAUUGACAUUAUCCUGUCAAAUCACUCUCAAUUAAAUUUAGAAUGAAACUCACACUCCUUAAUGUGGCCUGCAGAACCCUGAAUGAUCUGAUUUUGCCUAAUUCUGUAACAACAUCUCUUGCUGUUUUCCUUCUUAAUUUAUGAUCCUCCAUAUCUUUCUUUCAGUUUUUAAAUAUGCUAAUUCUUUGACACCUCAGGACUUUGUGUACGCUUUUCCUUUGCUAGUAUUUCUCUUCUCAACUCUUUCCAUGGUUCACUUCUUCAUCAAGUCUCAGAGGCCCUCCCUGAUCAUCCUUUCUAAAGUAGGCUAUCCCUUAUUCUCCAUCCAGCAUCUUAUUUGUUUCACUUUUAUUCUAUAACACAAAGUGAAAUUAUUUAGUGACCAGUAUACUCUAUAAACUCCAUCAGUACAGGGACCAUGUUUAUUUCAUUCAUCUUAAAUCCUUAAUCACUUUGCACCUUGUUGGUCCUGGAUAUUGAAUAAGUAAAUUCAGUUGAAUGAAUUUUGAGUUAUUAAGAAGUCUUAAUUUUAUUCACUGUCUUCUGAGAAAAAUCUCAAAUUUAUAUAGAUGAAGAUUUUCAUAAAAAUUGUUUUAAUGUGUUAGUGCAUAAUAGUUGGAGUAGUUAUAGCUAUGAUUUAAAGAAUGUUUGCCAGAUUCUUUCUGUGUGAUUUUUGUAAUACCCAGAAUUACUUUGUGAAGAUAAUAGUUUAUCCACAUUUUAUAGAAAAUGCAGUAGACUUAGAGACAUUUGUUGACAUUUGCUCAAAGACACUUAUCUGGUAAGUGGAAGAAUUGGGACUUGAACCUAGGUCUGUCUGUAACUAAAGUCAGCACUAUUUUCAUUCUACUUUGCUGCUUCCUAAAUUAGUGCUUAAGUUGUCUGGAAAAUUUGCUUCUGAUGAACACUUUCCUUUCCCAAUGAUGCUGGAUAAAUGAGGUGUUACUGUAAUAAGGUGCUAAUUGAAUGGCUCAGAGAGUAGGUGCAAAAGAAAUUAAAGAAGGAAAAGGUGUGUGUCGAAGUCAUCAGGGAAACUUCUUGGAAUAGUGGUGGGACUUUAGUUCCAUCAAUUAAUGCUAGGGAAAUGUUCUAAAUGCUGGACAUUGUAGGACAAAUGGAUACAAACAAGUGUAGAAAAGAAUAGAAGGUUUUUCAGUUUGGAGAAAGUGAUUAUUAGUUUAGGAAUAUGUGUAUUCUAAAAGGAGGAGGACUGGUGUGCUUGGAAUAAGAUUUAUAUUGGCAAAAAGGGGGAUAUUAAUUGAACAAGUAAAUGAGGGUAAUUAGGAGGUGGUUUUUAGACUAUACAGCAUUUAACUUUUUUGGUGGUUGCCAAGAGCAGUGACAUUGUGGUACAAGAUAAUAUUUUAGGAAGAUCAAAUUCCGUUGGCUAUACUUAGAUUUUAUAUUAUAACAGUGCAUUGGUAGUACAGUAUGAAUAAGUUUUUUUUUUGUGUGUGUGGAGGGGGCAUUCUAUCACUGACCCAUAUACCUAGCCAUUUUUAUGUUUUAUUUUGAUGCAAGGUCUUGCUAAGUUACACAGGCUGUACUUGGACUUGUGAUCCUCUUACGUCAGCCUUCUGAGCCACUGGGAUUAUAGGUAUGAGCCAUUUCACACAGCCAAGAGUGGGUUUUCUGGCCCUGGGCUUGAUUUCUAUCUUUCUACCUUUUCUACUUGCUGAAUUGUGAGCUUGGAUUAUCAUUUUACUCACUGUUCCUCAGUUUCUCCUCUGUGAAAUGGGAUUUGAACAGUAGUACCUUUUGCCCAAUUUCAGAGAUUCUGAUUCAGUGUAAUUAAGGUAUGAGGAUGCCCCGUCUUCCCAAGUCAGAUUUAGUUAAUCCUCCUGUGUAAUCCCAGAGAGUUUUCCAUUUGUUCAAUGUUUUCCUUUUUUUGUAAAUAUAUUUUUUUAGUUGCAGUUGGACACAAUACCUUUAUUUUAUUUAUUUUUUUAAUGUGGUGCUGAGGAUCGAACCCAGCGCCUUGCACAUGCUAGAUGAGCGUUCUACUGCUGAGUCACAAUACCAAUCCCAAGUGUUUUCCUUUUUUUGACCUCAGGUGUUAAGAAGUUGAAUUAAUAAAACUCCUUAGGUAAUGACAUACUAUCAGUUUUGGUAGAAUGAGGCUUCUUUCUUAUUUUAUUUUAAAUAGUUCUCAUUUAUCCCUGUUUCCCAUUCUCAUUUUCUUCCUUCAAAGAUAUUCACGCUACUGUUUUUGGAUAUGUCUGUGUCUUUAACAAAUAUAUGGUGGUGUUUUAUGCAUAUUUAUUGAUGGUUUACAUAAGUGAAGUUGUGCUAAACUUUCUCUUUUCUCAUUAAACACUUUAAAAGUGCCUUUUAUGAUAGAAAACUUUAAGCAUAUACAAAUAUGGCGAGGAUAGUACAAAGAAACUUCCGUGUGUCCAUAAUUAAGCAUCAACAAUUAUCAAUUCCUAGCCAAUUUUGCUUCAUAAAGAGUUGUAACCAUUCCUCUCCUUGGCAUCUCCUUCCCCAAAUUCUGACUCUACAAAUAAUAAUUUUGUGCUGUAGAGAUUGAAUCCUAGACCUCAUGCAUGCCUAGUCAAGCACUUUACCAUUGAGCCACAUCUUCAUCCCUACAAACUGUUAUUUUGAAGCAAAUCUAAGACAUUUUUUUCCAAAAUAUUUUAGUGCUCAAUAAACUAAACAAAAAAACAAAAAAAAAAAAAAAGGAAAAAGAAACCUGUUUGGAUCUCUCUAUAUCUGACCAUCUGGUGAUGGUCAUCUAGGUGCUUAAACUUCCUGAUACUAUAAACAGCUCUGUGAUUUUCAUUUCAUUUAUGUCCUCUUAAGUGCCUUUGGGAGAGCUCUCUCUGUAAAAAAGAAAUACACAUAUUUCUUUAUUUUUUAAAUAAUAUUUAUUUUUUAGUUGUAGUUGGACACAAUACCUUCAUUUUAUUUAUUUUAUGUGGUGCUGAGGAUCAAACCUGAGGCCUCUCAAGUGCUAGGCGAGUGUUCCUCCGCUGAGCUACAACCCCAGUCCCCCCACAUACUUCUUUUCACUAAAUACUGACAACUUGAUUUGCAGCAUGUCUGAACAGGUUGAAUAUAUCUUGUCUGAAGUGCUUGGAGCUGAUACUGUUUCAGAUGAAAGACAUUUUUAGAUUUUGGAAUAUUUGCACACAUUCAGUUUUGGGGAUGACCCAAGUCCAAACUGAAAUUGUUUUGGACUGAAAUGAAAUUGUUUGUAUUUCAUAUAUGCUUUAAAUAUAUAACCUGGAGAUAAUUUCGUACAAUAUUUUAGUGCAUCUGUUUAGAUAGUUAUUGUCACAUGAGGUCAGGUGUGAAGUUUUUUACUUGUGGUUUCAUGUUGGUACCCCCAACUUUAAGAUUUUGUUGUAUUUCAGAUUUUUGGAUUAGGGUUGCUCAAUCUACUUUACAUGCUCACUAGCAGUACAUGAGAGUACUUUUCCCCUCUAUUUCCACUGGUACUUAGUAUUAUUUCACAUUAUAUUUUGUCAGUCUGAUAUUUAUGAAGUUGGUUAUUUCUUCACAUACUUGUUUUCUAUUAACUUAGAGCCUUCUUGCUGUUUUUUCUGUAUAGAAAGCUUCUUUAUAUUCAUGAUUCACUCAUUUCAUUUAAAUCUGUUUAAAUGUUACAUCUUGAGAGACUCCCUGAAAGAGUAUUCAAACACUUUCUAUCUUUGUUCUGCCUUAUCUUUAUUCAUAGUAUUUAACAUAAUAAAACAUUAUAUUAAUUAUGUAUGUAUUUAUUUCCUCUGCUCAAAUUCUUGAAGCAGGGUUAUUGUUCACAUCCAUAUCCCUGACCCUUAAAAAUAGGUGCUCAAUAAAUAUUGGCAGAAUAAAUUGAAUUGUCUAUUCAUUUGUUUUGCCUAUUUUCCUGACUUAGUAGGAGUUCCUUAAUUAUUACAGACAUUAAUCCUAACUGAUUUUAGAUGUGGUAAUACAGCUUGUUAAUUUUAUCUAUGGUAUCCUCUUUUGAUAAGGAAUCCUUUCUUUUCUUUUCUUUUUUUUUUUUUUUUUUCAGUACUGGGGACCCAAACCAGGUUCUUGUGCAUGCUAGGCAAGUUCUCUACCACUGAGCUAUAUAUACCUCCUGCCCAGGCAAUCUUAAUUUUCAAGUACUUAAAUCAUCACAUCACAAUAUGUAAAUCAAUACUUUGUGAUCUGAAGAAAACGUUUUCUAAUUUGUAUGGCAAGUCCCUCUAAAUUUUAUUCUACUUGCUUUACAAUUUUAUAUUUUGUUUGUGGUCUAUAAUCCCUCAGGAAUUUACCUUUGGGAUAUGAGGUAUUUGAUUGUGUUUUUAUAGUAUGUGAUUGUAUUCUUUCUCCUACAGAAUGCAAGCCUUUAGUACUUCUGCUGAUUAGUAGCACACCCUUAUGAGUUCUUCCUCAGAUUUAAUUUAUCAGUUGUCUAUUUCUGUUUCAUAUCACAAUGUUUCUAUUAUAGUGACUUAGCACUGUGUACUAAAGUAUGGCAAGAAAAGUCCUCCUUCUUUUCAAAAAUUGACUUAGGAAUAGUCAUAAUAGUAGUGAACACAAUCAAGUAACUAAUUUAGAAAAGAAAGUAAAAGAACAGGGCAGGAUAGCAGUAUCUGUGGUCUCAGUUGCUCUGGAGGCUAAGGCAGGAGAAUUAUUUGUGCUCAGCAGUUUGAAGCUACCCCAGCAGCAUAGCAAGACUCCAUCUUCAAACAAACAAACCAACAAACCAACAAGAAUGUACAAGAUAGCUGGGUGUGAUGGUUCAUGCCUAUAAUCCCAGUGAUUCAGGAGACUGAGGCAAGUUUGAGGCCAGGCUCAGCAACUGAGUGAGACCAUCAGUAACUUAGCAAGACCUUUUGUCAAAAUAGAAAAUAAAGGAAGGAUGGGGGAUGUAGCUUAUAGUUCCAUGGUAAAGCAUCUCUGUUCAAUUCCCAGUACCAACAAAACAAAAUAAAACAAAAACACGAAAAAAAAAAAAACCCAAAAGAAUGCACAAGACCAGGAAUUAUAAAAUGAUUGAAAAGCAUAAAAGAAGACAUUAGUAAUAGGAGAGAAAUACCAUGGGAUGACUUGGUGAUACAGAGGUGUCAGUUCUCCCCAAAUUAAUUUAUGAAUUUGAUACAACUGUAAUAAAAGUUUCAUUAAGAUUUUUUUGCAUACUUCAAUAUAAUUAUUUUAAAAUUUAUUUGGAAUAUAUAUGUCAAUUUGUGAAAUAAAUGCACACUUUCAUAGUAUUUUUUAUACCUUUUUAAUGACUAAUUUUAGCAUUCUUAUAGAUGAAGAGUUAAUUCGAGGCUGUAGAGAAGAAGGAAAAGCCUCAGUUAAACAUUUUUAUUAAAAGUGAUAGAAAUCAUGAUGGUGUCAGCAAGUAACAAUCUCAGCAUAGAAGCAUAGAAAAAGUAGAAGGCAAAAAGUGAGGGGUUGUUGGAUAAAUACAUACUCCUUCCUCAAUUCUGGGAAUAUAACUGGUAAGAACAGAGAACUAUAAUAUCCCUCAUUAUUAUGAUAUUACUAUGCCAUGCUAAUGACAUAUACCAUGUCUAGUCUAACAGUCAACAUUUAUAGGGAAUAAUUACUGUCUGGGGUAUAGUAUCUAUAGCAGAUAUCUCUGUGAUGUAGCCAAUAAAUGAUACUCAGAAAUAAUGAUGACUGGGCUAGCAUGCGUGAGGCACUGGGUUCGAUUCUCAGCACCACAUAUAAAUAAAUAAAAAAUAAAGGUUCAUCAAUGACUAAAAAAAAAAAAAAAAACAGAAAAGAAAUAAUGAUGAUCACAAGUAAUUAGGAAGACCUUUAAAUAUAUUGUUUAUUAGUUUAAAGUGGGAGGGAAGUAGGUGCCAGAGAGUUUCAAUAAAAUUAGUUACAGUACAGGUAUAUCUUCACUUGGGUUAAUGUUCAUCCAUUUAGAAAGUAAGUGUAUCUAAAUAUACUCAAAUUGUAGAGUCAAACUUUUAUUUUCUCUAUAUCUUGUAUACCUUCAAUUGUGUAUACUCAUAAACUGAAAAUAGAAUAAAAUUACUCUUUAUGUUUUUUUCAGGAUUACAAGUAGAAGAAUGGAGUUGAGGGAAAUUAACUUCCAUAUUAUGCUACCAACAACAAUAGAUGUCUGAGUUGGAGGAGUUCUGUAGAAGUUAAGAAAGAUAUUUGUGAAUAUUUUUAGGUUCGGUGAGCCUCAGACCUAUCUAGAAGGAUUAAAUAGAUGAUUUAUUGUGAAGUGUAGGGAUUGGAUUACCCAUGUUCAGAUGCAGUGACUAACCAUCCUUUCAAAUAGUAGGCUUAACAUUUGUUGUGACUUGAUUAGUAGUUGGUGAUUUCAGGUCUCAUACUAUUGUGAUUGUUUUAUAAAAUUACUGAAAAUAUUGUUAAAGCUGGAGGAUGAUGAAUGUACUAGAGAAUGUGGAACUGAACCUGUCUAUCUGGUUACUUUAUUUCCAUUUAGAUUUUUUUUAAGACUUUUUUUUUUUUUUUUUUUUUUUGUAGACAGGCUCCAAACAUGUGAGACAAGCAGCUCUACCACUGAGCCACAGCCACAGCCGCAGAUCCAUUUAGUUUUGUUUUAAAACCAGUAUUCUACUUAAUAUUUUGUUUCAUGAUGAUUGUUACUUAGUAAAGCAUGCCUGUGAUUGUGAAAAUAAUAAAAUAAAAAACAGAAUCCCACAUUAUUGAUGUACUAUAUUUGAGUGUGCCUUAAAUAUAUCCAGUUUUACUUUUCCAUGGAGUAAUCAGAAAAAUGUGCAUUAACUGUUCAGUAGUGAAAUGAAUCUUACCAGUUAAAAAAAAAUCAAUACAGAGAUUUAAGAUCUUCCUAUGCUUAAACAUAUGUUGUACUUGACUAAAGCCAAAUUAGAACUCAAUAAAGGAAGCCAAAUUGUGAAUUCUAAAAGUGCAUGACUGUUGGCAUUAAAAUAGAACAAAAAUUUUGUUUAGAACUUUAGCAGAGGAGAAAGGGAAAUGCCGUAAUAUUUUUUUAAAAAAAUAUUUAUUUUUAAGUUUUAGGUGGACACAAUAUCUUUAUUUUACAUUUAUGUGGUGCUGAGGAUCAAACCCAGUGCCUCGUGCAUGCUAGGCGAGUACUCUACUACUGAGCUACAACCCCAGCCCCAAUACCUUAAUAUUUAUCUAGUCAGGUGUCUUGUCUUUUUUCUGUGAUAAACACUAGUAGUUGACAUCUUUGAAAUCCUGAGGCAUUUUUUUGUGUAUAUUCCUUUUGUUGAAAUUUUAUGCAUACAUUUAAAUAGUAGUUAUUUGUGUAGCUUAAGAGUUUAGAAUUUAUGCCUUUUUAACACCUGAAAACUUAAAUGCUCUGAAUGAUCCUGACACCAAUAUUUAUAACUUCCUUAGAAGUUGUAGCAAAGGCUAUAUCAUUAUUUUGAUGGGUUAUGGUUCAGAUUUCAAAUUAUGGUGUAAAUGAUCAGUAUAAAGUCUAGGGAAGACUAUUUGGGAUGAAAACUCUGAUACAUUUACCAAUGAUGCAUGGUAGUGGUGACAUGGGGGGAAGUAGGAUCUGUGGUGCUUCUAGGUUUGGAGAUGGCCUUUAGUUUAGAGAAACGCAAACUGGUUGGUGUUAACAGAGUUUGUACAAGAACAAUCCAGGCCACAUUAAUCAUGAUUUUUAUUUUCUGUGUUUUCUGAUGCUUUGACAUUUUUGGGCCUUGCUGAUUGGGGACAGAAGGCCCCUCUAGUGCUAGCUAAUUCCUAGAGAUAGCAAAUGACUCCCCUGGGUGUCAUUUUUCAUAUGCAAAAGUGUCACUCUUUGACCCAUACUACCAACUACUUUUAAAACAUGGUCCUAGCUCUCUUCUAGAGUUCCCUUAUCUGUCUCUUGCCAGGGUUCAGUUCAAGCUAAUAAUCAAUAUAGGUAGUUAAGACUUUAGCACCUACAGUGUUUGCACUGUCACAGUAUUUCUACAUACUACCAACUACUUCCUUUGUUGAGCUCUGAUGGAUUGAACUACUAUCCCCCAGCCCUAUAUCAUCCCAGAGCCAGGUAUCAGGCAACUAGGGACAUCUUUUAUACACCUAAGUUCGCUAAAAUUAUUCAAAUGAAGCAAUCCUAAACUGCUUACCUUGCCCUGAUUUACCUGCUAAGACCAUUAUAAAGGCCUGUGCCAAUCUUUCCCCUCACACCUGCCUCCUUAUUGACGCUAGCAUUUUCCCUAGUGGAUGCCUAUUCCUUCUGGAAAUUGUGAGCAAUAAACUGUUCUUUCAAGGGUAUAGUGUCUUUGUGUAUGUCAUUUUACUCUACUCAAUGAAAACAAAUCCCAGGUACCUUUUAAAACAUGGUCCUAGCUCUCUUCUAGAGUUCCCUUACCUGUCUCUUGCCAGGGUUCAAUUCAAGCUAAUAAUCAAUAUAGAUAGUUAAGACUUUAGCACCUACAGUGUUUGCACUGUCGCAGUGUUUCUACAGCGUCCAUACCGUAUUAUGGGUAUUGAGAAGACCAUGCGGAACAUCUCUUGAGAAGUAGUGGAUUUGGCUAGAUCCAUAUUUGGCUGGAUGGAAGAUAGUAAUCUACCCUUUCUUUUUUUGGAUCAGUUUUAGCUCUUGGUAGGGUAGAAGAAGAGAGAGAAGUGGUGGCUCUAUGUCUUGGAGAAGGUUAUCUAGAUAACCUUAGAGGAAAGUCCACUGGCAGUCGCUCAUCACUGUAAAAGGAAUGGAACCAGAUCUCUUAUACUACUGCUUAUGACCUGAAAACAACCUAUGAAUUUAUAGCAGCAGUUUAUUAUCAUACUUUGUUAUGGAAACCUGUGGUGACUUCAUCUGGAUUCUAACAUAUAAACAAGGAUUUUAAUAAAAAUGCUGUAGGAAUAAAAAUAAUAAAUGUUUACUGAAGAAAGUGAUACUGUAUAAUUUUGCCAAAAAUGUAUUCUUAUUUUGAUAAAAAUGUAAAUGGAGGAUAAUUGGAUGAAUCCCCACAAAUUUAGUGUUCAUUAAAUAUCAGUUACAUUUUAAAUGAGAGAUUUAUGUAAGGGAUUUAUAACAAUGUCUGGAUUAGAAAUGUCCUUGGAAGUUUACAUUAGAAUUUCUGUGUUUCAAACUGCCUUUUGUUAGUUAAGGAAGCAAAAGACUUAUUUACUGAGGUAUUACAUGUAGCUAAAUAUUAGGGAAGACUUUGUUAGUGCACUUCAUACUUAGAUUCCUCUAGGGAUGUAGUUUCAUUGAAUAUUGACAAGUUGACAAUUUUUUUCCCCAUAGGUGGCACUCCUGCAACUAUCAGAAAUGCAAUAUUUAUAUUCUUAUCAUAAUUGUAUUAAUGAAUUUAACCAAUAUAGGACAAUAUAUCUGUUCACAACUUGCUUGGUGAAGCUAAUCAAGCCCUAUCCUCCACCAAUUUCCUGAUCUAUUUUCCUUUGAAUGUGAGAAUUUUUUUCCCACUUAGGUUUCCUACCUCAGCAGCCUAAGCUCUCUUUCUGGUAGUAGACUGUUUGGGAGUUGCUAGAUAACCUCUGGCAUGAACUAGUGUUUUGCCUGCUUUCAAAACUAAUAGAUCUUUCUGUGUUUUCAUUUUUUAAAAAUCACUGUUAUCUCUUAUUUUUCUCAGCUUUUGUGGGGUUUUUUUCUUUGUUCGUCAGUUGCUUCAGAUCUACUUACUCUAGUUAGCCCUCAGAAUUCUGUCACGGUGCUACAUUAUUUACAUUAGAGCUAUAGAACUCUUUUCCUUAUAUUAGUUCCUAAAAUGUAUUUCCCUGCUGAUCAUGUGUUGCUGUGAGCUUCUCUUGUCUACCUGAUUUUUAAGACUUUUUUCCCCCCUAGUUAUUUGCUUAAUGUCUGGGACAGUAUAAAGUCUAUUAUAAAAAAGAAAAACUUUUACAUUAAUUAUGAAAAAAACAUACUUAAUAUACUUACAAGAUUAGAACUCAAAUCAGGAGAAGUACCACCUGCCUCAGUUAUGUUAACUUUUUUUUUUUUUUUAAGAAAGUCUGUAACCACUACUUUCUCUUGAUUGAUUCUGGUCCCUUUUAGAUAGGCUUUUUGAAUUGCUUUGGUGCAGGUUAUAUAAUUUAAGGUCGAAGAGAUAAUAUAUUAGAAAACACUAUCACCUUAAGGAAUAUGUAGAAUAAAAGAAAAGUGAAAAUAUAAAUAGAAACAUGAAGUUAAUUUGGUUUGUGACAAAAGGAUAGAAGCAUUAAAAAUUAAGAAGGUAGAAAUUUUUGAAAUGCACAAUAAGUUGAGUUUUGUGGUGAACAUGCUUUUUCAUAUGUUAUCUUUAUGUAAAGUGGGUAGAAAGGAGGAAAUGGCAGUAUUAUUCAAUAGUUUAAAUGUCAUAUAUUUGAUUCCAUGGGUCUGUGAAUUUCUACGAGGCAAGUUGUUGGAUCUGGGAUUUGAUUUUUAUCUAUUUAUAAGUAAACUAUUACUGUUUCAUGGGUCUGAUAGAAUACAUGAAAUUCCUAGGUUAGAGACAAAAGGCUUAGUUAUUCAUUUCAGAGCAAGCAGCAUGGAAAUUAACAUAUUUGUUUCAGUUCUCUUUGCCUUCAAAUCCCAUGGGGCUGAUACAAUAUGGUGCACAUAGAUGUCGUAAAAUAGAGAGUUGCUACUGAGGAGCAUUGAGCAUGGGGAAUCCACUGCUUUUAUAAUAAGCAAGAGUGCUCUCAACUUGAAGUAAUCUCAUCACCCAAGUUUGCUCACUGCAAACACAACUUUGACAAAUGGUUGUAGUAAAGAGUAUUCAGGAUCUUGCAUUCCUUCAAUACAUAUAAGACUAUGGGAGGCCCAUAUAGGAAUGUCUCCCAGUAGAUUGUUUUAAGAAUCAGUAAAUAUUCUUCUGUUUUUUCUUAAGUUUUAAAACUGCAAAUAUUGUAUUUAAAGAAUAGUUAAUUAACUCAAGGGAAUUUUAACAGAGGAUUGUUCUAGUGAGUUUCAAGCCAUGUAUUUCCUUAAUUGUACAAAAAUAUAAAACUUAUAUCAAAUUUAUACCAGCAUACUAAGGAUAUGUCAUUGUGUUAAGCAGUCAUUUUGCUGUAGCUUACUAUUUACUAAACCCUGAGGAUACCAAGAUUAAAUACGUAUAGCAUUGAUUUCUGGGCUUAGGAUCAAGUGGAAGAGCACAGAGGUAAUUUGGUUGUAGUAUAGUAAGUAGUAUUGCAGCAGUAGUAUUUCAUAUGUGGAGAAAAAGCCACUAAAAGUUCUAAGUGUGGAAAUGCUAGGUAAGAUUAGUUUUAAUUUAAAAAUAUCACAUAAGUAACACUGAGUUUGGAAGACAGGUGAGGUUGAUGCUAGAGGAAUGGAGACUCCUUAUUAAGCUACUCUGGCAACUCAGGUAAGAUUUGGUAAAGGACUGAACUAAAUCUGUAUCAAAAUAAGUUGAGAAGUAGAAAGCAGUUCAAGAAAGAUUUGAGGAACUCAAUUGACAGGGUGCCAUUAAUAGGAUGACAGCAGCAUGGAAAAAGUUAUAGGGGAGGUAAUAUCUAACAAACAAGUUCAGUUCUGAAUGUGUUGAGUUUGAAUUACUUGUAGGGAAUCAAGGUGGAGAUGGCAGUUAGAUUGUGUAUAUGAAUUUAGAAUUAAGAAGGCUUCUAUGUAAAUUGGUAUCCUUAUUCAUUUUAACAAAUAUUUAUUUUCUGCCACAUAUAAGGUCCUAUGCUGGGUGCUAAGGACCCAGCAUUGAACAAGAUUUAUUCUCAUGUAAUUUAUAUUCCCAUAGGGCGUAGACAUUAAGCAAUAACAUAGAAAAUUAUUUUAUUAAAGUGCUGCCUGCCUUAGAGUCUAAAACUUUGCCCAUCCGGGGGGACAGUCCCCAGGGUACCAUUCAUGUAGAUGUAAUGAGCAAAUAUGAGGGCCUUACUCAGGAUGAAUCGAAGGAAUCCUUACAGGCAAAGGAAAUAAUAACAUGUGCCAAGGCUCUGAGGCAAAAAAGAUACUGGUGUGUUUAAAGAACUGAAAGAUUAGUGUGGUGAGGCAUAAACAACCUGAGGGAAAAUGUAUAAAAUUAGGCUAAAAUGGAUGAAAUGAAGCUAGAGGUAAAUGUUGGCAAGGAUCAGGUUAUAUAGGGCCUUCCAGGCAGGGAAGUUAUUUUGCAGUUUUUUCUAAAACAAAAAGGAGCCAUUUAAGAGUUUUAAGGAAUGUUCCAUGACAUUAAAUUUGCAUGUGUGUGUGUGUGUGUGUGUGUGUGUGUUUAAUAGAUCAUUAUGAUUGAUGGGUAAUGCUUCAGAAGGCAGGUAGAAGUGGACUCUGGGAGAUAGGAUUCUAGGCAGGGAAUAAUGAUGGCUUGGACUAGCUGGUAGUUGUGGACAUGAUGAAAGCUGGGAGGUCUAAACUAUUUAGGAGGUAGAACUAAAUAGUUGGUGAUUGUCAUUUAAAAUGGUGUCAUAUUGUUACUGGAGUCAUCUAGAGUGAGAAGAGAACAUGGAGGAGGAAAUAUUAUAGUAUAUGAAUAUUUAAGGGGUAGGCUGAGGGGAAGGAUUCCACAAGGAGAGACAGAAAUGGCUAUAAAGAGGAAGAGAAUCGUGAAAGAUCCAAGUCAAAGAAUGGGAGUUUAAGGAAGGAAAACCAUUUUAACUAUCCUUAUGGCAAGGAAUAAAGAAAAAAAUGUCUAAAUAAGCAAUACAGGAGGAUAAGACAAUUUAAGGAAUAUCUAAAGGUAUUAGAGAAUGCUAAUAAUAAAAUAUUAACUGAAAAAUUAUUAUGUAAAUUUGCAUAUUCAGCUUGACCUCCAAAUUUUAUUUUAAAAAGUCUACAUGUAUUAUUAUGUGUGUAUGCAGCAAAAAUAGUCAAAGACAAUACUGUAAUAUACUGAUAGUUUUAUCUGAAAUGGUGAAAUUCCUUAUUUGUGCAGUUUUUAAAUGAUAUGAGCAUAUAUUAAUGUUAUAUUUAGGAAAUUAUUUUGAUUUAAUUUUGUCAAUGUUUUUUAUGCAUGGUUAUCAGUGUUUUAGAAGCACAUUGUAUAAAGAAUACUGGUCAAAUAGUUCUUUGAUGUUUAUAGUGGAAGACUGUAGUGUUUACUAAAGCAGUUAUCACAUUUUCUCUUUCUUAGGGACAACCAUCUUUAGUUAUUUUGGCUGAUUUUUUUUUUUUUUGUACUUGAUUGUUUCUCCAAAUAACAAGCUUAUAUUGCCACUACUUGCUUUAUAAAAGACAUUAUCUACUUAUUUCCCACAGUGGAAGUUAAGAAUUUUGUUCUUUUCACUAUCUGUUCCCACAGCUAUACACAUUUCUUUCCUUCUUCUUCCAACUGCUAUUCUAAUUUUGGUUGGAGUGGUAUUUAAUGUUUACAUUGUUAUAACUAAACACUAUUCAUAGUAGUAUUCUAUGAUAACUUUCUCUUUCUUGUAUAGUUUUGUUUUUACUAGGUAUACUUGUUAAAAGGUGGUUUAGUUUUUCUCUCAACUCCAUUCUGAUCAUAAAUAUCCUCUUAAUUAUUCUGUUUUAUUUUCUUGGUGAUAUACCUAUGAGACUCAUACCUAUUCUAAUCUAUACUAGUUGCUUUCCUUUUUUUUUUUUUUUUGUAUAGUUGUUAUCUUGGUCUCUUCCUCAUUAUCAUUUUAAGGAUUCGUUUUAUUUCUUUCUUGUCUCUGAUCCUUUAUUAGUCAGAUUUCUAUUGCUGUGACAAAAUACCUGAGAAAAAUUAACAUAUAAGGAGGAGUGAUUUAUUUUGGUUCAUUAUAUCUGAGAUUUCAGACCAUGGUCACUUAGCUCCCUUGCUUUGGGCCCAUGGUGGUACAGUCCAUCACGGUGAAGAGUAUAUUACAGAGGAAACUGCUUACCUCAUGGCAACCAGAAGCAAUAGGGAGAGAUAAGAAGGAGCUGGGUUGUGAUAUUCCACAUUAGAGGUUGGUGAUCAAGUCUUUAGCAUAUAGGCCUUCAGGGGACAUUUAAGACAGAAAUUAUAAUAGAUCCUGUUACCCAGUUUCCUCUUUGUUGGGUUCUUACUUUGGUGGAGCACAUUCUGUAGUAGCAUUCUGAGUAUGUGGUAGUUUCUUUGGACCUAGAAAAUAAUUUUCAGUUCUGGCAGUUUUAUUAAUUUCUUUGAUAUCUUUCCCUUAGUUUCUGCAUAUCUGAUUUCCUUCUCUUAGUUUCUGUGUAUUGUGUUGGAAUUCCUAUUUGGUGUUGCAGGAAUUUGGACUAAUUAUUUUAUCUUUUCAGAUAUUUUUCAAAUCUUUGUUUUUGGUUUUCCUUUACUGGGAGAUACCCUCUGUUUUAUCUUCCAACCUUCUAGAUUAAAACAAUGCUCUUAUUAUUAGACCUCUAUAUUGUUCUUGUUUCAUGGUUGCUUACAUUCUGUUCUCUCUGGGAGGAUUAUUAAUGAUAGUUUUUGGAUAUGUUCUCCUUUUCUUGUAUUAUCUCUUUCUUCCACAUUACUCUUUUUUGCUUGCUUGUUUUGAUCUCAGUCUCUCUUAUUUUAGACUCUCCUUUAAAUGUGUGUUGAUCCUUGUUCAUAUACACAUACUAAAAAGAGCUCCAAAAAGUUGACUAGUAGUUCUAUGACUCUGGAUGUGGCUUGUGGAGAUAUGGGUUUCAGUUUAUGGUAAUAUGACUAGGCUGUUUAUUGGGGAAGCUCCAAUGUCUAUUAUCAUUUUAGGAAUUUUAUUUUAGGGGCCUAGGGAAGAGGCAUAAUGUCCUUCAGUGCUUUGUAAUCCAAAUUGGGGAAGAAACACAUGAAAUUUCUCUUUAGUCCUUUCUUUUUAGUGUGUUUUUAGCUUGCCUUAGGAUAUUCAGCAAUAAGGCUAUUUUAAAAAAAUCAAUUCUAGACAAUAAACCUCCAGUCUUCUGCUAGGACCAGAUAGGGACAUUCAGCUAACUAGAAUGAGGGAAGGUGGAAUGGGGAAUUGGGAAUCUAACAGCUAUUUAAGCAGAAUUUAAAUUAAUCCCCCUCUCCCACUUGUGGAGUUACCUGGUGCCACCAGUUUAGUCUUUUGGAGAUUGUGUCAUGUAAACCUACACUACUUUUCACCUUACUAUUUAGAUUUCUUGGGUUGGAAAAGUGAUUUACCAUAUUUUGUUAUUGUUAUAUCAUCUUGUGGACUCUGUCGUUGUGAAUUUAAGCUUUCAAAUAUUGUUAUUUUGGUGGGAAAAUGUGGCUGUAAAUGUUAAGUUCAGUUCAUAGUCUUUAACUGGAUAUUCAUAAUCUUUAUUUUUUGAAAACAUGAUUUCUUCCCUUUUCUAAUACAUAAUAAUUGACAAAGACAUAUUGCUAAUUGAUGAUCCUUUUUGUUAGAAGAUCUGGUGAAUAUCCAUCUAUCCAUGAGCUUUGUUUCAGCUUUUAUGACUUACUGAGACAAUAAUGUUUGGUAUUUUACCUGAGAGUUAGUGAUUGUUGAUGGCUACCAAAGGAAAUCCAAAGAAAUGUUUCAGGAUAAAGUACAGCUAUUUAGGCUACAAUAAUACCAGCAGAGGUUAAAAAAAAAAGUAAUUUAAAUAGCUUACAGUUGUAUAAUAAAAAUCAGACGCUAAAUCUUCUACUGACUACUAACUCUUCUAAGCAUCAACUUUGUGGAGUAGAAACGAUUAUUAUUCCCCUUUACAGAUGAGGUAACCUCAGUACAGAAAGGUCACACAGUUUUGCUAUAGUCAACACAAAUAAACUGGGAAGUGGAGAAGUAAGCAUAUAAGUGGUCUGGCUCCAGAACUCUCUGAAAUCAUUGUGUUAAACUAUCUUUUUAUACUGUUGUAAUGAUGAUGAUGAUGGUGGUGAUAUCUUGUUAGAGAUUUCUAGGUUUUACUCUUAUGAGGUGAAAUGAUCAGUUUUACUUUUCUACAUAUCUUUAGGUAUUAUUUAUCAUAACUAGUCUCAGACUUCAAAAUACUGCUUUCUUUUGGUGAUUAUUCCUUUUUGAGAUACAUUGUUGCCUUAGACUUUUCUGACAUAUCUUAAAAACCUUGACUUCUUUUCCCUUAUACAAUGGAUAUAUUUCUGAUGAUCCUCUUUUUGAACUGUAAUAGAUUUAAGCUUUUCAAAGACUAUCUCCUGCUUCCUUAAGCUGUUUUACUUGAACAUGUGGUUAAUUUUUGGAAGUGGUGAGCUUUAGGUAAAUAUUUCUUUUUCACACACAAUUAAGUAUUAGUUAUUUUGAAGGGGAAUUAUCCAUCUUUUGGUACGUAUAGAAGAGAUACUUCACUGAGACCUAUUGAACAGAAUCAACUAGUCAGCUGAGUUUAAUUUUUAAAAACAUAUGAGUCCUUUGUUUUAGUUCUUAAAAAGAUGCUGUUAAAGACAAGUGCCUGACUAUUAUUUAAUUACCCUUCCUGCAUCAAUACAUGAAUAAAUAGCCAACUUUAUAGAAUUAACCAUGUUUUGCCUUAGACUUUUGUACCCUCUUAACUACUUCCAAUUUAUGCCUGAAAGGAAAGAAACAGAUUUAUUAAUUUAUUGUUAUUAAAUGAAUUUUAAGAGCAUUAAGUAUAGUUAACUUAUAUAUAUAUAUAUAUAUAUACACACACACACACACAUAUAUGCAUAUGUAUGUGUAUAUAUGUAUAUAUAUAUAUACAAAAAAAUAUAUUUGCUUGCCUAGUUCUUUAGGUUUUAUUUGUGUUAAAGUUAUUAAAAUAAUUACUAAUUUAAUACAUUUUGGAACUAGAUUUUUUUACAUUAUUUGCAGAUUUUUUUUUAAUUUUUUAUUGUUGGUUGUUCAAAACAUUACAAAUUUCUUGACAUAUCAUAUUCCACACUUUGAUUCAAGUGGGUUAUGAACUCCCACCUUCACCCCAUACACAGAUUGCAGAAUUACAUCAGUUACACAUCCAUUGAUUUACAUAUUGCCAUACUAGUGUCUGUUGUGCUCUGCUGCCUUUCCCAUCCUCCACCAUCCCCCCUCCCCUCCNCUAGUUAUUAACUUUUGUGCUAUGGGUGUCCUAUUGAGGAAUUUGGAGCCCGACCCCACAGAAUGUAGAUCGUAGCCAACUUUUUCUUCUAUCAGACGGCAUGUCUCUGAUUUGAUAUCAAGCUCCUUGAUCCAUUUUGAAUUCACUUUUGUGCAUGGCGAGAGAAAGGGAUUCAGUUUCAUUUUGUUGCAUAUGGAUUUCCAGUUUUCCCAGCACCAUUUGUUGAAGAUGCUAUCCUUCCUCCAUUGCAUGCUUUUAGCCCCUUUAUCAAAUAUAAGAUAGUUGUAGUUUUGUCUUAUUCCCAUGUCUGUAAUGUUCAUUUCUCCCUGUCAAGUAUUGGUUGUUUCCUGUGUUGAAACACAGCUUUCUGACUUGUUUUAGAAUACAUUCAUAAUUUUUUUCUAGCUCAUUCUCAUAAGAGUGAUGGUUGGGAUUCCCUCUGCACUCAGGAAUUCAUUCAUACUAUGUUGGAGGUAAUGUUCAUUUCAAUGGAAGUGUGCUUUUUAGUUUCCUGUUUGUAGGUUUGCAUUUUUCAACUAACACUGAAAAAGUUGUUUUCUAAUUUAGGUCCUCAUUAUUCCAUCCACCAGCACCUCAUAUUAUACUUUAGCUUUCAAAAGACUAUAAAUGUUGACACCAUAAUUCCAUAGGAAAAUGUGACUAAAUUCUAUGGGCCCUUAUAAUGUCAUUUAAAAAAUUAUCAUCAUCUGUUCAUUCAUAAUCAAGAGCAAUACUAGCAUACCAGUCUUGAUCACAUAAUUCCUUGUUUGAGAUUCAUUGAGAAGGUAAAACUGAUGUAAGACACAAAAGUGUUUCCAAAAGCAUUGCUUUUCUUAAGAAGUCACAUUUCCAUCCCAAAGUAUCCUAUUAUUUAAUUUUACCCUUUACAUUUCUAUUAUAAUUGGGCCGGAGUUUCCAUUUUAUCAUAUAAUCUUUCUAAUUCAUGGCAAUUGGAUCAAGUAUAGUUUUGUCAAUAGAAUAUUCUCAGUUUGAAAUUAAUUCUUUCGAAAUUUUGUUUUCUAAUUUAAUGAAGAGUUAAGUUUGUUGAAUUUGAGGACACUGCAAAAACCAUUUGUUCUUGAACAUUAAAAUUGUUAGUGCAAAAUUAAAAGCACAAACAAAAAAUAUUGGUAAAAAUUCAUGUCUGCUUAUUUUCCUUCCUUUGAUGAAUUUUUAAUUUUUUAAAUUAAAAUAUUGAAUUGAGGGAAGACUGCAUCUCAGACAAACUAACUCCUAAAUUUCAUACAAAGGAAUAAUUCUCUAAAUGUUACAUAUCUAGCUAUAUUAUCUUCAUGUAAAUUUCUUUUCAUUGAUUUUUUUGGGGGAGGUACAGGGGAUUGAAUUCAGGGGCACUCCACCACUGAGCCACAUCCCCAGCCCUAUUUUGUAUUUUAUUUAGAUACAGGAUCUCACUGAGUUACUUAGUGCCUCUCUGCUGCUGAGGCUGGAUUUGAACUCUGAAUCCUCUUGUCUCAGCUUCCCAAGCCGCUGGGAUUAUAGGUGUGUCGUGCCCAGCUUCAUUUGAUAUUUAAUAACUUUUUCUCUUUGAAAAAAACUGUCUAGUAUAAAAAUGAAUGCAUAUUUUAAAUUGAAGAAAGGGAAAAAUCUAUGUUAAAAUCUUGGAGAUUGCAUAUUAUUUAGAAGUCUCUGUUUUUUCCUCUCUACAUGACUGAAUACCUUAAAUUCAUAGAGAUCAAAUUAGUCAUGAAUAUGUCAGGUCUCUAGGGUUUCACUUUUUCCUUCUUAGGUCAUAUUCUUUAUGUCUAUAUUUUCUCUGAGAUAUGAGCUAGGGUAGAUUUGUUGAUAUUCUAUGAGUUGUGAUUGAGAUAUUAUUCAGAAAUUACUAGGAAUUGUACAUUUUUGUAGAGAAAGUGGAGGAAGCUAUAUAUUCAAAAGGUUGUUUGCUUAACUUUUAUAGAAAUGAAAGUAGAAAAGGGAAACAGGGUAAAAUAUUGAAAAGAAAGAUGAAAGAGGUCAGAAGAAAAUAGAGAAUUACCUGCCUAUCUAUAGUUGGUUAUAUAUUGGCUUCUGUUUCAAUUUAUUUAUUUUUCCUUGUUCUUUUCUCAUUGAAUUUUAAACUUCCAGAAAAUGGGGGUCAUUACUUCUGCUUGUCUUUGAAAUUCCCAGAUUCUAAUAGUGUCAACUCAAUUAUCCAUUGAGAGAUUAUCUGCUUUGUGUUUUAGCCUUUGCAAAUAUAGCUUUCAAGUUCUUAUUGACAUAUGUAAACAAAGAAGGUGAUAAAAACUUCUUAAGUCAUUUCACUAUUUCAUGCUUACUUUUAUACUCCUGUAUAACUCUGGAGAUCAAACUACACACAGUGAACCUUUUAGCUGAUUCAGAAUGAAUCUGUUAUUUCAUGUACUUUUUAUUAAGAAAAAAAAAAAAGCAAUCACAAAAUGCAUUUUUCCAGUGCAUUUAAUUGUCUUUAAAUUGACUUUCAGUCCCCACCUCUCCCUCAUGGAGUAAAAAAUUAACUCACUGUACUGUUUCUUCUGUAGAGUUCUAGUGUCAUGGAUUACUGAUACUAUGCUGACUCCCUAAGAUUUGGAAAAAUCUCCAGUCACUGAAGACAGCUUUCAUUGGGAUAUGCUGUCUACACAUUCAAACUAAAGAAGAAAGGGUACAUUUUGAAAGAAAUUUUAGAAAGUUUGGAGCAUUUAUUUAUUUAUUUUUUAUUUAUGGUUUUCUUUUAUGAAUAUAAAAAUCCAGCCAGCAAGCUUUAACUAUAAUUCUCUUCCCCUGCACAAGGGAGUGAUAAAGUACAAAUGCAGCAAGUUAAAAAACAAAAUAAAAAUGCUUGGUUUAUGUUUAAGCCUGAUUUUAAAAAAUCUGAGAGAUGAAGUUUCUAACAUGAAGGCAAUGAUCAUUAAAGAGUUAAGAAGGAAAAUUAAAUAACUUUUCAAAUAAUUAAUUAAAAUGUUGCAAGAUUAUGUUGUGUAAAGCAUUAUGUAUUUCAGAAAAUUAAACAUUAUUCUCUUCAAAUAUAAGUACAAGUAUAUGUAUCUACUUUGUUGUACUAUGUGUAUAACUCUCAUAGCGUAUAUGAACCUUCAUUUGAUCAAUUUCUAUUUCCUGUCUGUAGAGAGAACUUCUUAAAGGCAAGUGCUAUAUCUUUGAGCUCUGGAUCCUCCUGUCUCAGCCUCCCAAGCUGCUGGGAUUAUAGAUGUGCACCAUCAUGCCCAGCUUCAUUACCUUUAAGAUUUAGCCUAGUUUCCAGAACAAAUGUCCUAAAAUAUAUUGACUGCAUCAUUUAUUAUAUAAGCUAUCAAUAAUAACUGGGUUUAAAAAAAUUUAUUUAUUUUGUUUAGGUUUUUUAUUUGUUUUUAGUGAGGAUUACAGUUUAAGAAAUGAACAGAUAGGUAUGAGGUGCUUUAACUUGUAUGUGUAUUUGAUUUAGUUUUUGAUUAAUAUUUAUUGGCUUUCCUUUCUGAAUAAAAAACAUGAGGCUUACCUAUAUAUUUCUGUAUCUUUGCUGUUUUUGUUGCCCAAAAGCUAAAUGUGUUAAGUAAAUUGUAAAUGUUAGAUAAGGUGUUCUAUUUGUUUAAUAUUUUGUACUUUUAAAGAACUUUUUCAUAAAUUCUUGAGUCCUAGCCUCACAUCAAGGAAGGAUAAAGAAGUUGAGAAGGAAAUUUGUGCCCACAGUUACAAAUUUAUAAUCUCAAAUCUAGAACUUUUGAAUUUCUAGUUAAUUGCUAUUUUGUGUUUACUUUAUAGCCACUUUUAAAAGUCAUUUCUUAUUGCUUUAUUAUAUUAGUUUGGUAAGGGUUGCUAUUACUAAGUACCGCAAAAUGGUUAGCUUAAACAAUAGAAAUUUAUUUUCCCACAGCUCUGGAGACUAAACGUCUGAAAUCAAAGUGUUAGCAGGAUUGGUUCCUUCUGAGGGCUCUGGGGAGGAUUUGUUUCAACCCUCUUUGCCUUGUAGAUGACUGAUUUCUUAUGUAUCUUCAUCUCAUUUUCCUUCUAUCAGUGUCCUUGUGUCCAAAUUUCUCCUUUUAAAGGACACCAGUCAUAUUGGAUUAGGAACUCACCUAAACCAGUCUGACCUCAUCUUGAAGAAUUUUUCAAUGUUCUUAUUUCCAAAUAAGGUCACAUUCUGAAGUACUAGGAGCUAGGUCUCUCACAGGUUUUUUUGGGCUGGACACAAUUUAACCUAUACCAUUCAUCUUCUAGUAAAUGAACACUUACUGGAGAUGUGCAUUUUUCUUUCCAAGAACUUAACAGAAAAUGCUCACUUCAUCCUUACUUAUCUGUUGCUUCUCAAAGGAAAUUAAUUUAAUACCAGAAGAAAGAAUUCUACUUAUUUAUGACAGAACCAUUCCUGUUCUAUACCUUGGGGUCAUAUAGUUACCUAAUGAUUAGUUUGUGGAGAUAAUCCAUAUUUAUAAUUUUAUUUCCCUGAAAUUUUCUUAAGUUGGAAUACACAAAAUUAAUUGAGAGAUAAACUCUAUUCUUUGGGUUAAUCUCUGAGAGUUAAUCAGUGUGACCUUUUGCUCCAGCUGUACUAUUGUAUCUUUAGUGGCUGGCUUCCUUGGAGGACUUCAACAGAAGAUGGAAGAGUCUCUGAAGGAAAGUUGAGGUUAAUCAUACUAUCAAGUAGCUUACUCUUUUGUUUAAAAUUUAUUCUAGAUGAAAUGGUGAGAAGUCUUGAAGAGAAAGAUUCAGAAAGAGAAGAAGGAACUCACUACUAUUAUUCAGAUCAAAUGCUGAUAAACUAGUGUUACUAACAGGCCUAUUUAAUUUAAUUGAAUUUCUUCCUUUUUAUCAUGCUUUGAAAGGAAGAAGUAACUUGCACAAAGUGAAGGCUGUUCUGGGUCAGUAGACAUUUAACCAGAUCAACUCCAUAAUUUAUGUAUUGUCAGAUUAGGACAAUAAUUAAUUUUGAAGAAAAUGAUAAUUUUACAGCAAUACAAAUUUUUUUUUAAAGAGAGAGAGAGAGAGAGAGAGAGAGAGAGAGAGAGAGAGAAUUUUUUAGUAUUUAUUUUUUAGUUCUCGGCGGAUACAACAUCUUUGUUGGUAUGUGGUGCUGAGGAUCGAACCGGGGCUGCACACAUGCCAGGCGAGCGCGCUACCGCUUGAGCCACAUCCCCAGCCCCACAAAAUUUUUGGUUAUACUUACAGGCUGGCUUUUUUUUUGGUGCUAGGGAUCAAACCCAGGGCCUUGUGCAUGCAAAGUAAGCACUCUACCAACUGAGCUAUAUCCCUAGCCCAAGUCUGGCUUUUUGUACUUAUUAAAACUCAAAGUGAACAAAUUUAUUUUGUUAUAAUGUCUUUCUUUUAGCAUGGCUAAAUUAAAACUAUUUAAAUUUAAACACUUGGAUUUCUGUCCUGAUACAAUACCAAAAAAAAAUGGAAUAAUCUUGGGCAAAUUAUUUCAUUCACCUCUAUAGGCUUCCUUUUUUAAAUUUGCAAAAUGGAGGGGGGUUAUUCAAAUUUAGCUGUGAAACCUCAUCAUUCUGGGAAACAUCAUAUAUGCUCAUUCAUUUCUAGGUAUAGUCCUGGAUUCAAAGAAAGGAUAGAAGUAUACCCUGCCUUCAAAAAGUUUAUGGUAUAAAUAUAUGGAAAGCUGUAAUAUGUGAAUAGUUAACCAGUAGGAUAAAUUAAUAAUAUAAGAUAUAAUUUAUUCUAUGAGUUAUACAGACUAUAAAUUUUAUGAAUUCUGAGAUGGAUGAGAUACAUAUUUGUAGAGUAGCAUCAUCAGAGAGUAAAUACAGAAUUAGGAAUUAGACUAACUUGAAGAAGCUGUGCUAACGAUACAUUGAUGAAGGAAAAGGCCAGGGGAAUAUCUGGAUCUUAUAGUAAUAUUUGCUUAUAACAAGUAAGAUUUUUUUUCUAAAUUAUAGCACAUAUCCAUCAUAGGUAUGUUUGCUUCUCAACUGUUUAAAUUUUACAUGAUACUAGUGUUCAUAGUCAAAUAAUUUUAGAAAAAUUUUUCCCAAUAUAUAUCCCAAUAUUCAACUGGGAUAUAUAAUUAAUGAUGGUAUGAUUAUAGUUUGUGAAGAGUAUGGCAGGUUCUCACUAUCUCUAGUUCAUUCACUAUUGUAAAAACUCUAAUCUUGUAUAUGCUUUCCAAGUUACCUAUGAAAUACCAUCACUAGCAAUAUGAAAGUCAGGAAUAAGAAGAGGGACCUGAAAGAAGGACUUGAUUUGUAAAAAUGUUAAAGUACAAAGCAAAAGUUUUAAUUAGUUUUGCAUAAUUAUUACUUAUUAACAUCUAUAUGGGAUAUGUUUAUGGUUUUUAAAUCCCAAAGUGUAUAUUGAUUUUAAGCAUUUUAAAAUAUUUUUGAUUUAAAAGGAUAAGUUAAUUAUUUUUAAUUUCAGUUUCUGGAAAAUAAAAUAAAUGUAACUUAAAAUAUAUUAGUGGCAUUUAAUAUUAAAGCAGUUUUGUGAAGUAUGUGCUUCUUUGAUUUAUUUAUGAUUUCUUAAGAUGGAUCAGCUAUGUCUUUGUUAAUUAAUUUUUAAGAAUUUUAUGUAUUAAAUGGUUUUUAAAACCCGGAUAUUUAUAUGCAGAUUAAUAAGAGAAUGAUAGACAAAUGUGUUAAGCAUAUUUCCACAGCACCAGGUAAAAUACAGUUCACAUAUGUAGGUACUCUUUCCCUCUUUCUCUCUCUAUAUAUCUACUGUCCAAUGGAUAGCUGGUGGAAUGGGUGGGUGAAUGAAUUAGUAAGUAAUUAAUAUUUUCACAUUUGUGCAUGAGUAUAUACACACCCACAUAUAUACAACAUAAAUAUAUAUUUAGUCUGUUUUGUAGAGUUUGUUAAGUGUUUUCCAGGGUAUGUCAUUAAAAUAAAAUGUUCCACACAGAAAGGUUUCUAUUGACAAAUAGACUUGAAAAACGUAGCAUAUUAUGUUGAUGUCAAGACAAUCUUAAUAUAUAUUAGCACAUUAAUAAUUCUGAGCAGUCUAGCAGUAAAGAAACUCAAACUUAGUUUAGCAUUUCCAAAACUAACACAAACAGGGAAUGCUUUUUAAAAUUUCUACAUGUGUGUGUUUGCAUGUGCAAGCAUGUGUGCCUACUUGUAUUUGUGUAUGUACACGCAAUAUGUGGGAAACAGUGGGUUUUUAUGUAGUGGAAGUGGUAGAAUUGAACAGAUGUUGGUGGUAUGGCAGGGAAAUGGGAGCUAGUGAUGGUAUUUCAUAAAAAUCAUAGGUAACUUGGAAAGCAUAUGCAAAAUUAGAGUUUUUACAAUAGUGAAUGAACUAGAGAUAGUGAGAACAUGCUAUACUCUUCACAAACUAUAAUCAUACCAUCAUUAAUUAUAUAUCCCAGUUGAAUAAUUUAAAACAGAGCGAAAGAGCACAAGAUAAUGGAGAAUCCCCAACUGUACACCUCAUUGUUUGGUCAAUGCAAUUACCAGUGGUGCUCUGGACAGCAAUGAUUGUGUGACCAUUCCUCCUGGUUCAACCUGAUUUUUUUGCCUUGUUUGAGUAUUCACUCACAGUUUCUGCCACAUGUUCUCAGUUCCUAGUUUUCUAUUCUUAUUCAAGGAACUAAAGCAGCUGGAAAGCUCCUUAGUUACUUUAAUAUUUAUUCAUCUUAGGUAUCAACUAUUUUCAGUUCUUCCUCAAUGUAUUUAUUAUAGAAGAAUACAUAAUGAGGAAACUAGAAUUUGUUAAAGGGUACAAGAACAAAUUAGGUAUCAAAUUCUGGAAUUGUGAAUUAAAAAAAAUUCCCCACAAUUUAAACUGAAAAGUCAGGUAGAAUGAGACGACUUUAGUAGGCUCUUGUUUGGCUUUUCUCUCUUUAGAGAAAACAUUAAUGAACAUAAAUUCAGUGUUAUCUGUAAGUAGAAAAAUAAACACAAAGACUUAAACUCAGUAUUAACAAUUAAGUGAAAGAAGAAUUGAAUUUAAAAAUAGUUGUUUGGACUCCCUCCCUGCUACUGGAAAUAUAUUCUGUGUUUCCUUCUGGGCCUCCUAUGAUAACUUUUCUGAGUUGCUGGUGCUACAUAUUUGUUCUACAUGACUGUCUUAUGUUUUGUUCAUAGUUUAAUAUCCUCAAAAUAACCUGUAUAUUCUAACAGCUCACUUUUAAAUCUAUUUUUUAAAUUUCUAUUAAGUUAUUUAAUUAAUUGGAAAAAGCUAUGUAAACACUAAAGGUUUUUAUAAUUUAAUAGGCAAACUGCUUUGCCAUUUAAUCUUUAAUUAAAUAUUGAACCACUUUAACAAAGUGACCCACACAUAAAGAAUACUGAAUAAGAUAUGUGCAAAAAGGAAUAAAGAAAAAAAGAAGACAAAAAUAUUCUUCAUUAAAAUGACCAGCUUGCCUUUUGUAGAAAAUAGUGGGAUGUGUAUGCAAUGUCUGCUCUUAGUUUGGAUGUGUUAAGGUUCAGCUACUGCGUGGAAAAUCAAAGUUCUUCAACUGUUCAGUAAUUCAGUGUAAGACUUUAAUGGCACUUGGAGUAGGUUACAGAUCUUAGCUGGCUAAAGGCUAUGAAGAUAUUAUGGAGCUGUUCAAGGGGACACAGUAGAAAGUGGCAAAAAUAAAUUCUGAUUUUACCCCCAUAUAAUAAAAUGAUGGAUGAUGUGACCCAGUUUGAAUUGACAUUUGGAUUGUCUGAUGUAGGGAUUCUUUCUUUUAGGAUUGAGAAUUAGCAGAGAGUUCUUACUCAAAUGUCAGAUGAAAAUGUAAAAUGACAAGCUAGUUUCAAAAAAACAGUGUUUGUAUAUUUGUUCAGAAUUUGUUGGCAUUGUGUUUCAUAAACUUUGUAUCUUCAAUUGCCAAUUUUUUUAACUUUUUUUUUUUUAGUUGUAGUUGGACACAAUACCUUUAUUUUAUUUAUGUGGUGCUGAGGAUCGAACCUAGCGGCUCACACAUGCUAGGGGAGCACUCUACCCCUGAGAGCCCUAACCCCAGCCCAUCAAUUGCCUAUUUUCCAUUGUUGCUUCUUUUGCUUUUCAUGAGAGUCCUUAUAUAACUAGGCUUGAGUAAUAGGAAGACUAUGACUUGGGUUCUCGUCUAAAUAAUGUAAAACCUUUUUAUUGUUCAAAAUUAAUGGUAUUGAUUUUUUUCAGUAUGCAUUAUUAGUCCCAUAUAAAUUUGUUUCUAAUCAUCUAAAUUAAUGAUACAGUUAAAUUUAAAUUUUCUGUGAAAAUAUUAAUGCAGUAUUUUAUACACUUUUCAUUAAUUACUGUGUAAGCUCUUGUUCUAGAAUAAAAGGGUUCUUAGGUUAGAUAGGUUUAUGGAAUGGUGCACACUACAGCUGUUUUUAGAGAUUUGGAAUGUACAUUAUAAUGUCAAAGACUCAGGCAGUUGCUGAAAUAAAUGUUUAGUCCAGGAGUUUCUUUGUGGGCCAAAGAUUAAAUGAUAAGGAUGUCUAUUAUUUCAGUGGUUUUGUAUAUUGGUGGGCUUGUUUUGAUAUUACUAAGAUAAAAGGCCUUAUGAAAUUAGCCGAGACAAAAAGUUCUACUUUGAGACAUGAAAGUACAAAGACUUAGAAUUAGAUAGGCCUCUUGCAGUGUUAAAUAUUUAUGUAGAAUCCUCUUUAUUUAUUGCCCUGGGAAAUAUUUUUCCUAAUUUAUGCCCCUGGCUUUGUCUGUCUUCAUGUACUGGGUUGUGUAUAAAGAGUUUGGGAAACAAGAAGCCCAGGAACUCUAGAACCUUGAAUUUAGAUACCCAGGAGCUGUAAUAAUGGGCGUUCAUCUAGGGCUGAUUAUCCUUAUGCAUGGGAUAUGUUGUCUGUGUCCUUUAGAGCUACAACUGAAGGUACUGUUGGAUUGGAAUUAAUAAGGCCAAAUGUAUUGACCAUCAUACUACUGUUCUUCUGUUUUACUUUAGAAAUUGUGAAGACUUGCAUAAUUUGGGGGAUUACAAUUUGAACUGCUUCAAUCCUGCUCGAAGGAAAAGAACUAUGUUUUCAUAAUGUGGUCAAAUUUAUUUAUCAGUAUAUCCAAAGUAUUAAUUGCAGUAAUGAUCAUAAUGUGUCAGGCAUUGUGCUAUAUACUUUACAUAGAUGAUCUGUAAUCCUUAUAACUCCAAAGGGUCGUUACUAGAUAGUUCAAUUCUACAGGCAAGAAAUAGUAUGUGUAUGUAUGUAUAUUUUUUAUACACAAACUUACACACACAUCUUAUUACAUAUACAUAUAUACACACAUACUAUAAUUCUUUCCAUAGAAUCAUCUUUAAUUAAUUUUUAUAAUAAAAACCUUUAGUUAGUGUAAAUCUAAAGUCUUUGGCUAGAAUUAUAAUAGAUUGGAGAGUUAUAAAAGGGGAAAAAGGCACUGAUUUCUCUUCUUUUUAAACUCACUCUUAUUUUUACUUAUUUAUAUAGUCUCUUUUUAUUUAACCAUGGGAUUACUCAUUGAAUUAAUAAUCAUUUGGCUUUGUUUUGUAUGUAAUUACCUAUAGCUAACCCAUUCUAACAGAAGGAUGCUUGAGGAGACCAAAGAGUUAAUCUGCUUCAUAGCCACUUUCCCCAGCUGCUUUCAUUCCCAUUAGUGAAUUAGGGACAGACAGGGCUAUGGCAGUUGUCACAGAGGUCAAAAUCACUGAGGGAGAGUAAAGGCUGUGAUGGGAUAAACAUUUUAACUCCCUGUCCUGCUGCCAUCUUGGGCACAAGUAUUAGCAUUAAGAGAGCUUCCUGAGAUCUCUUAGCAAUUUUUUAGAGGAUUUUUAAAUUUUAUUUUUUUUGUGAUGAGGAAUUAAUUAGACAAUAACUAUCCAAAGUAACUUGAUUAAUAAAAAAAGUAGUGUCUAGUAACAAAGACAAACAUUCCAUCUUCCAUUAUAUAAUUAUUUAUUUGGAUUGUUAGCAGUAUUUUUACUGUUUUGAUCUCAAAUAUUUCUCAGUAUCAAAACUUUAUAUUGUGUUAUGAAUAAGGACUUUGUAACUGAGAUCAGGUGUUUUGUUAGUUUAAUUAAUUAAACUAAUGGAUACUAGUGUCAAUCAAAGUGCCUAAAAAGAAUGUGCCAGUGCUUCUUUUGCUUCAUUAUUCCUUAAAUUUAUUCCUAGCAGACUAAAAUUAUAAAAGUCUGUUGGAUUCUACUUUCAACCAUUGACUAUUUCAUUUUAUACAAGAUGUACUAGGCAGUUGGGCAAAUGCAUUCAUAGUUUAAUGAAUACCUCCUGUCUUCUCAUUCUGUCACCCCUCAACCACUCCUGAUUGUUGAAAAUGAGUUGUAGGAUAAAUUUUGGUGUUCAGUCUCUGACAUUUUUGUUUUUAGCUGAAUGGUGCCAUUUUUUUUGAAACUGGUAUUAAUUAAGAAAUGUGGAAAUUGCUGGAUAAUUCAGAUAAGAACUACUUAUUAAAUAUUGGUAGUGUACAUUGCAUUGCAGAACACAUUGCCAUGUAUUUUAUUGUUUGUAUAUCAAAUGGAAAAAUGAACAUUAACAUGCCACAAAACUUUAAAAUUAUUUUUACUGUAGUGUACUUUUAUGGUUGGUAUUUUAUAUUAAAAAGUGCUUUCUAUGUACUUUAUUUGUUGUUCAUUCGUGUUCUGUUAGUCUGAUUAUUUUAAAUGUUCACAUUUCCCAGUAUCAUUUUAACACUUGAAGAGAUAAUGUCUUAAAAAAUACUGAAUAUUAAAAUUGGUUGACAUAAAACACAGUGGAAAGAACAUAUUUUUAUGAUAUGAGAUUUUAGAUAAACAAUUUCACAUUAAGGGAAAAUCAUUAGAGUUAUACUUUUAUAAUGUUAAAAUUUAUUCAGUUGAUAUUUUUCUUCUAUUAAUGCAUAAUUUGGAUUUAGGGGAUUAAUAUAACAAUGUUAUAUUUACUCAGCGUUUUACCUUGCCUAUUUUGAGAAUCUUUUUCCAUCUUUAAGAAUUUUUAGUGAUCUCUAGAAAUUACAUAGCAGAAUUAAAACUUGGAACCUGCUUCACUUUGUACUUCAAAAUCUCCUAAGUGGUUCUAGAAACAAGAUUAAAAAUAUUUGAGCCACGUGGCUCUAAUACACUGCCUGUAAUCCCAGUGGUUCACGAGGCUGACUCCGGAGGACCUCGAAUUCAAAGCCAACCUUAGCAAUUUAGCAAGACCUAGUCUCUAAAUAAAAUACAAAAAAAUGGCUGGGGAUGUGGCUGAGUGUUAAGUGCCCCUGGGUUCAAUCCCUGGUUACCUCCCUGCCUCGCUCCCCAAAAUUUUGGAGUCAUAGUAGUUAACUAUUAUCUUGUUUUUUUUAAAAAAACUUUUUUUUUAAUGUAUGAUUUCUAGGAACAAUGGUUUUCAUUGAUGUUAAUCUGGUUAAAUAUAGAAUAUUAGGUAAGAGAUACUAACAAAGCAUUCCAUAUAAAUGAACACUAGGUUAUAAAUUCUAAUAGAAGCCGUUAUACUGUUCUAAUAAAAACCACUUAAAAUAUGUCUAUUUCAGUGAGUAAAAUAAGUGGAACUAAAAACAACCAAUCCUGACAUUCAGUCUAAAAGGCCUUUCUAUUAUAGCAAGUCUUCUUUCACAUGCUCCUGUUAUAUGCAGAAAAAUGUUCUCAGCCCUCCAUUUUAUUUUUCUUCUGUUUAAGUUGAAAGCAUUCAUCAUUUUAAGUUAUUGUGUGAUGUUAUCAGUGAAGGAUGACUUAAUAGCUCAAAUUUCAGCUGGACAGACCUAAAUUUGAUAGUGUGUUUUGGGUAAAUCAGAUUUUUGUCAUGGAUAAAUUAAGAUUACUUUGAAAGAAACUUCCACUUACCUCAUGUAACAUGAAGGAUAACAACAGCACUUUUCUUUCCAAUCUCUGAAAUGCCGUAUAUUUUCCCCUAACUAAUCAUGGCACAAAUCCAUCAUGGCUCUGCUCUCUUGGAGAUGUUGAGCUUCUCCCUAUCCCCUUUACCCACUUUCUUUUGCCAGAUAGUUGUCUAGUGCUUACAAUAUGUCAAAUGCUGGGUGAGAGAUCCAGUGCAACAUAAGACAUGCAAGGUUCCUGCUGUUCAGCAGUUAACAGUUUUAUUUUCUCAGAUUUUAUACUUCUUAGUAUAGGAAAAGAUGUAUUUUAAUAACUUUAUCUGCUGCCCUUCUUCCCUGGUUUAACAGGUAUUCAAAAGGUGGUAUGUAAGUUGGUUUGUUUGGUACAAAGAAUAUAUCCCCAACAAAGAAAAUAAUUAUGAAUUGUAAUUAUAAUCCCAGAUGAUACUUGGAAUUUAGUUAAACUCCAAAACUUGUAAUAUUAUGGUUUCCCAUUGUCUUUGGGGAUGUGAAUUCCAGUUAUAAAUCUAAAAUUUAGGGAACCUACCUAGCUAAAGCAAUUCCAGUAACGAGAAGGUAGAUUCAUUUUUUUUUUUUUUUUUUUACCUUGACUUCCUUACUCCCUGAGCAGCAGGGACUUGUUUUUUUCCAUUUCUUCUCCAACUCAUUGUUAAUGAGAGAUUUCUUCCUUUACAUACUGUAGUAGUGGCAGUGGCAAGAGGGGAAUGAGUGUUCUCAGCAGCUGUGAUAGAAAGGAGAGAUGGGCUUCAGAGAGUUGGGGAAAUGGGUAGUUUACUUGGAGACAGGUAUGUGAAGGAUUGUUCUGGGAUAGCCUUUAGCACCUAGAAAGGAAAGGAUCAGAACUCAGGGGAGAUGGAAUAGUAUUGGUAUGGAUUCUAGUUGGCACUAAAGGAGUAAGGCAGAAUAGGUUGGAUAUGGUAGCUCAGGGAAUUAGAGAGGAAUGUUUAACAAUAGUGGCAGUAAGGGAACUGAAAUUUUUGUAGUCAUUCUGGCCUAGGACUUGAUUUUCUCAGAUGCUGCAGAUUUGUAGUGUAAGUCAGAUUCUGCCUGUGCCCUGCUGCUUUUUAUUGGUACUUUCUUUUAAUCAGUAGCAUUAUUAGAACGUAUUUAAAUAUCCAUAGAGCACAUGGAUCAGUUUUUAAAAUGUUACUUUCAUACCUUCAUCAAGUUUUCCUGGAAAUUAUACAAUCUUUAAAUUUUUAAAGAUAAAAAUUAUAUUAUUUAGUAUAGAUAAAAAUUAUAUUAUAUAGCAUAAAUUUAAAAGUGUAAAAUAAAAUCCAUGAAGAGAAAGCAUUAUUAAAUAAAAACAUGCUAAUUGAACCUCAUUUAGUAAAAGCAAAGGGAGAAGUUUUUAGCAAUAAUAAUCUAAAAGGAAACAUAAUUUACUUAUGGAUUACAAACAAAUAUAAAAACAUUAGCAGUAUCUGAAUUUUCAAAGUUUAUUUCCAAUAUAAAAGUAAAUAUUUAAAAGUAAUCAUUUAAACACUAAACCAGAAUAAUUGUUUUGAAUCACUUUUUGGUGUGCUUUAUCCUUCCAAAUUAUUGGUUUCCUAAUCCAGUAUAUAUAUAUAGUGACAAUGCAACCUCAGAAUAGGAACUUUUAAAGUACAAAACUUAACACUGUUUUUCAAUUUUAACAAGUCAAUUUUAGAUAUUUAAGUAUAUUCUCUCUUAAAGUUUGUUCAUAUUUAUAAAGUGUAAAGCCAAACAAAUGUGAAGUUGCCUUUAAUUUAGUAAAUGUUAUAUUUUAUUUAGUAAGUUUACAAUAUGAACUUGAUUUACAUUUAAAUAUCCAACAGAUCUUAAUUUGUGUUGACUGUACCUCAAAUUAAUUUUCAUUUCAUCUGCAAGGCAUAUAUAUUUUAUUCUGAGAUGAUCAUUUUGGUAACAUUUAAUGGGAAUGUGGCUGAUAAAUGGGGCUUUUUAUUUUAAUAGUAUGACUAGUUGCAUGAAAUAGUGAGGCUUUCUGGAUUCAAUUAAAAAUUAACUUAAAUGCAUUAGUUAAUUCUGUCUUUUGUUGACUCUUGGCUUUGUUUCUCUGUAAACUUUUGGGAAAAUUUUUGAGAAAAAUGUCAAGACUUCUCUCACACGCUUUGAAGAAUUUCAUUUGCAAAGGAAUCCAAAGAAGACUCCUGUUAAUGCAGUUUUGGGUUAUUCAUUGCGCAUUAUUUCUAAGGCAAAUAAUAUUAUUCAUCUUUCUUUCUUUUUUUCUUUCUUCCUUCCGCCCUCCCUCCCCCCCUCCUUCCUCCCUUCCUUCCUUCCUUCCUUCCUUCCUUCCUUCCACCCACCCACUAGGGAUUUAACCCAGGAGUACUUUAUCAUUGACCUACAUCUCUCCGCCCCCCUCGUCCCCCCCACUUUUUUCUUGAGACGGGGUCUUACUAAGUUACUUAGGGCCUCCCUAAGUUGCUGAGGCUAGUGUGAACUUGUGAUACUGUUUUAGCCUCCUGAGGUACUGGAAUUACAGGAGUGUGCCACCAUACCUGGCUCAUAAUGCAUUAUUUUUAAAACAAUGGAGUAGUUUCUAGAUUAAGUUUAGGCAGGUUAAUUGUGAUUUGGAUAGUAUGUACCAUGUGGAACACAUAAUGAGUAAGAGUGCCCUUGGCUCAUCAUAUUGCCGGAGGAUUCUUCUUUUCUUUGCUUUUUUUAAAAAAAUAUUUAUUUAUUUAGCAUUAUAAUUCUUAAUACACCAUUAUACAAUAAUUUAUCAUGUCUCUUAUUAUAUAUAAGGUAUGUUGACACCAAAUUCACAUCUUCAUACAUGUAUUUUGUAUAAUGAUGAGGGUCUCCUUUCACCAUCCGUGCUAUUCCCCUUCUCCCUCCCUUUUCCUCCCACCCCUAUUCCCUAUCUAGAGGUAAUCUUCCCAGGAGGAUUCUUUAUUGUUUAGGUAUGUGGAACCCUAUCUGUUGGUGUUUAGGAAUUGGCUCUGUCCUCAGUAAGGUUGGAACCUCUCUUCAUGAUGCAGUGGAAACAUAUGUGCUCCGUACCUUAGGAACAAAAGAAGUGAAUAUAGCCCAGCUGCAGGCUCUGCAUUUGUCAGCAGAUAAGCCUACCCUUUUCUAGUUCUGUAGAUAGGCAACUUUAAAUGCAAAACAAAAAACACAAAACUUUAACUUAUUUUGUAGGAGCAGUUUUAGACUCACAGCAAAACUGAGUUGAAAGAACAGAGUUUGCAUAUAUCCUCUGUCUCCCAUCCCCACUUAUAACUUUCCCCAUUCUGGACCACAGUGGCAGAUUUGUUAAACUGCUGAACCUCUAUUGAGACAUUAUCACCUAAACUCCAUUGUUUACUUUAGGUUUCACUCUUGUGCAUGCUAUCAGUUUUGACAAAUAUAUAAUGACUUGUAUUAAUCAUCUAGUAUCAUACAGAAUAGUUUACCACAAAAAUUCUCUUCUUAGUGCUCUGCAUAGUCGUUCCUUCCUUCUUCCUUCUUCUUACUCCUGGCAACCACUGAUCUUUUUAACCAUAUUCAUAGUCUUGAUUUUUCAAGAAUGUAAUAUAUGUUGGAAUCAUAUAGUGUAUAGUCUUUUCAGAUUGAUUUCUUUUACUUAGUAAUAUGCAUUCAGAUUUCCUUCACAUCUUUUCAUGACUGGAUAGAUCAUUUCUUUUUAGAACUGAAUAAUAUUCCAUUGUCUGGAUAUAACAUUAUUUCUCCAUUUACCUGCUGAAGAAUAUCUUGGUUACUUCCAAGUGUUGGUAGUUGUGGAUAAAGUCUUCCAAGUGCUGGUAGUUGGAGAUAAAGUAUCCAUAUGCAGGUUUUUGUGUAGAAAUAAUUUUUCCAUUCAUUUGGGUAAAUACCAAGAGAAUGAUUACUGGAUGUUAAGGGUGUAUUUAGCUAUCCUUCUAAGUGAUCUUACCAUUUUGCAUUUUUAUUAGUAAUAAAUGAAAGUCUAUAUUCCACAACCUUGUCAAAAUUUGAUGCUGCCAGUGUUUUAGAAUUUGGCCAUUCUAAAGUUUGUAUAGUAAUAUCUCAAUGUUUUGAUUUGAAAUUUUCCUAAUAUAGAAUAUUUUUUCAUAUGCUUACUUCCCUCUGUCUUUUAUUGAUGAGGUAUCUGUUUAGGUCUUUUGCUCAUUUUUAAAUCAGGUUAUUCAUUUUCUUAUUGUUCAGUUUCUGGUUUUGGUGCUGGUGAUUAAACUCAGGGUUUCACAAAGGCUAAGCACACAUUCUACCACUGACUACAACCCUGACCUUUUCUUCUUCAGUUCUAAGAGUUCUCUGCAUAUUUUGUAUAACAGUCAUUUUUCAGAUGUGUCUUUUGCAGAUAUUUUCUCCUAGUUGUGGCUUAUCUUCUCAUUCAUUUAUCUGGUCUUUUUUGGCGGGGGGGGGGGGGGGGGGGGGGGGCAGGGACUGAACUCAGGGUCACUGGACCACUGAGCCACAACCCCAGCCCUAUUUUGUAUUUUAUUUAGAGACAGGAUCUCACUGAGUUGCUUAGUGCCUUUCUUUUGCUGAGGCUGGCUUUGAGCUUGAGAUCCUCAUGCCUCAGCCUCCUGAACUGCUGGGAUUACAGGCGUGUGCCACCACGUCUGGCUAUCUGUGUCUUUUGCUGAGCAGAAUUUAAAAAAAGAUUUAAUUGACACAUAAUGUUUCUACAUAUCUGUGGGAUAUAGUAUGAUAAUAUGAUAUGUGUAUAAUUUGAUUCAUGUAAUUAGCAUUUAUAUCUCCUCAAACAAUUAUCAUUUCUAUUUGUUAGAAAACUUAAAACUCUUUCAAUUAUUUUGAAAUAUAUCAUAAAUUGUUGUAGACUACAGUGUGUCUGCUACUGUACUGUGUGAUAGAACUGUAGAAGUAAUUCCCCAUAUCUCUGUAUUUUGGUACUCAUUAUUCAGUCUUUAUCUUCUCUCCUCAAUCUCUUUUCUAGCUUCUAGUGAUUACUAUGUUAUUUUACUUCUCUAAAUGAACAUUUUUUUUACCUUUCACAAAUGAGAAUCUGCACAGAACUUUUUAUUUUAAUGAAAUCCACCUAAUCAGUUCUUUUUUCACACACCAUGCCUUUUAUGUUGUAGCUAAAAUGUUGUUACAAUAGCAAAAGUUCAAUUAAGUUUUUUCCUAUGUUGUCUAAUAGAAGUUUUAUAUUUUAUAUUUAGGUAUGUUUGGGUUAAUUUUUGUGAAGAGUAAGGUCUAUAUGUCUAGAUAAAUUUUACACAUGAAUGUCCAGUUUUCAGUCAUUAUUUGUUGAAAGAAUGUCAUUGCUCUAUUGUGUUUCCUUUGCUCCCUUGCCAAAGAUGAGUUGACUAUAUUUACAUGGGUCUAUUUUCUGACUAUCUAUUCUGUUUCAUUUAUAAGCCAAUAGCAUACUGUCUUUAUUAGUGUAGAUUUUUAGUAUGUCUUGAAGUCAACUGGUGUUAGCCCUUGGUUGUUGUUCUCGUUCAAUAUUGAGUUCACUGUUCCGGGUUUUUGCCUCUCCAUGUUAAGUUUUAGAAUCAGGUUCUAAUUAGCUACAAGACAAUGUGUUGGGAUUUUGAUUGGGAUUACAUUAAAUAUUGGGUUGGAAAGAAAUGCCAUCUUGACAAUAUUUUGUCUUCUUAUUCAUGAACCUAUGUUAAUAUCUCUCCAUUUAUUAAUUCCUUUUUAAUGAUAUAUUCUAUCAGAGCUGUAUUAUUUUCCUUUUCUCUAAAGAACUUCUUUUAAAAUUUCUUGUAAAGCAAGUCAUCCCCCACUUUCUGUUGGUCCAAGAAAGUAUUUUUGCUUUACUCUUGAAGAAUAAUUUUGCAGAAUACAAAUUCUAGGUUUUUUUUUUCUUCCCCUCAAUACUUUAAAAUUUUACUUCACUCUUUUCUUGCAUGGUUUUUUAGAAGUCAGAUGUAACUCUUCUCUUUUCCUCCUUUACAAUAAAAGUGCUUUUUCCCUUUGGUUUCUUUCAAGAUAUUUUCUUUUAUCGGUUUUCCCCCAGAAGUUUGAAUAUCAUAUGUCUAUGUGUAAUAUUUUUGGACAUCUAUCCUAUUUGGUGUUUCUAGCUUCUUGGAUCUGUGACUUAGUUUUCUGAUAUGAAUUCAGUUAAUCUAUAAGUCGUCAUUGUUUCAAAUAUUAUUCUGAUGCCUUCUCUCCUGGUUUUCUCAUUAUGCCUAUAUUACAACUUUUGAAGUUGUCCCAUAGUUCUUAGAUAUUUUCCUCUAACUUGUCUUUUUGCUUUUCAGUUUUGGAUUUUUCUAUUGAAAUAUCCUCACCCUUAGAGAUUCUUUCCUCAUCUCUGUCCAAUCUACUACUAUAUGCAUCAAACACAUUCUUUAAUUCUUUUUGUAGGUGUUUUUUCGAUAGCAUUUUUCAAUUGAUUUUUAGAAUUUCCAUCUCUCUUAAAACUGCCUGGAACACUGCUCCCCACCAAUACCAGGAAAAUGGCUUCUCCUCCUUUGAGAGCGUAAUCCAAUGAUUCUUAACUGUUACACCUUUCCUAACCACCAUCCUCUCCUUGCAACACUCCUCAACACUCCUUUCUCUCUCUUCUAGAAAAAGUAUUCCCUUACUUUUUGUUGGUUUGAGAAAAUAUUUUUCCUUCAAUUUUGCAGAGUACAGAAUUCUAGGUUGUUGGUUGUUUUUUUCCCCCCAUCUGUCCUUGUGUAUUGUCUACUAAAAUUUUCCAUUAAAACCCAUAAUGUGUUGGGCUGGGAUUGUGGCUGAGCGGUAGAGUGCUCGCCUAGCACAGGCGGGACCCGGGUUCGAUUUUCAACACCACAUAAAUAUAAAGGCAUUGUGUUGUGUCCAUCUACAAAAAAGAUUCUUAUUCUCUCUCUCUUUCUCUCUCUCUCUCUUCUCUUAAAAAAAAAAAAAAAAACCCAUAAUGUGGGCUGGGAUUGUGGCUCAGUGGUAGAGAACUUGUCUAGCACCUGUGAGGCCCUGGGUUUGAUCCUCAGCACCACAUUAAGAAAACAAACAAAUAAAUAAAUAAAGGUUAAAUUCUUCAAAACCAAAAACCUUGAUGUGUUAAUCAUAAUUUGUUAAAAAUUCCCUGUCUGAUAACUCCAGUAUUCCUGCCAUAUCAGACACUGGAUCUAAUUCUUAUUAGCAUUUUCAAACUCUGUUUUUUGCCUUUUAAUAUACUUUGUAGUAUAUGGUUGAAGGUAGAUACAAUACACUGGGUGAAAAGAACUUCUAUAAGUAGGCUUUAGUAAUGGUAGAAGAAGCAUUCUGUAGUCCCAGGCUUUUCUUGAGCCUGUGCCUUCAUCAGUACUUCUCAUCCUGGCUUAGGUGGAAAAGGAUGGCUAGACGGGCUGUAGUUUGGUAGUUCCUUCCCUUCAGUUAGGUUCUAGAUUGGGCUCUGGCAAAAUAGUUUCUUCUGAGGGAAGAUCUUGUUAAUAACAGACUUAAAAUUUUAGAUAUGGGGACAAGUAGAGAGUGAUUUGAUGUUUUAAGUCUGAGGGAGUAGCAGAUUCAAAUGAACCUAAGUAGUAAAUUAAUACAAGAUUAAGGAGGACACAGUGACCAGUUUAGGUAGAGUUGCGUGGAAGUCAUUGUGUGGAAGAAUGGAGAGUAAGCCUGAUUUAGCACGUGUGCUAGGUAGGAUUUUUUAGGUUGCAUGUGACAGAAAACUUUAUAAAUAGUAAAAAGUUAAAAUUUACUUCUCUUUUUUUAACAUAUAUUUUUUAGUUGCAGGUGGACCCAACACCUUUGUUUUAUUUUUAUUUGGUACUGAGGAUUGAACCCAGUGCCUCACAUGUGCUAGGCAAGCACUCUACCAAUGAGCCACAACCCCAGCCCAAAUUUACUUCUCUUAAAUUAAAGAAGUAUGAAGGUUGAGAAUCCAGGGAUGAUAUGUCAGUCUCAUAAAGUUGUCAGGAAUCUCUACCCCUCCUCCCUUUUUAUUCUGGUUUUUGUAGAGUGGUCCUAUUUUUGUGGUUCAACGGGGAGGUUGGAACUUUAGAGUUAACACCUGCCUUAUGGAUCAGUAUAAGGAUGAAGGAAUUUAGAAGAGUGUACCCCUUGUUUUAAUCUUUCAAAUUCAAUCAGUAUUUCCAUAUUCAAAUUUCAUGCAAGUGAACACAUGUUGGCUUUGAGGGUGAUAGGAGAAUGUCAUCUUUUAGCUGGGGAACAAUAUGUGUAGUGAAAAAUUUGGAUUCUUACUAUUAUUCAGUGACCCGGAGACUGUAAGUAUCUGCUAGAGAUAGGAUUAAAUUUUGUUUUGUGUGUGUGUGUUCAUGUGUAUGUGCAUGCAGGUUACAGCUUGUGUGUUUGAAGAAGUAGGAUUGCUUAUUAAGGAUCUGUAUUUUGGUUAAUCUGCUGUUUUAGAACUUCCAUGGCAGUUAUCUUGGACAUUACUGUGGAUACUGGAAAAAAAAAAGAAAAACAACUAAAAGAGGAAUAUGUGAUAGUUCUUUAAUUCACCAGCCAUUCUGCUUUCAGACAUUUAGUUUUGCAGGUAUUUAUGCCAGUCAAUUAAGGAAAGCAGACUUUUGUAACAUAUUUUACAUAUAUUCUAUAAAUUAUAUUUUGAUGUGCUAAGAAAACACAUUGAAAUGGCAUGGUAAUCUGAUUAGUACCAUGAACCUAUUAUAAAACAUAUUUAUAUGACUUUGUAAUUGUCAAUAUUGGUAUAGUUUAUCCCCUUAAAUGUUUUGGAAUAAAAUACAUUUUUAAUUAUAGGGAAGAGCAGGUUAAAAGGAUUCAAUUAAUAUAGGACCUAGAAAUUAUCUGUUCUUUGAAAAGCUAACAUGCAGGGGAAUCUGGAAGGAGUGAAAAUAUUUAGAAAUUACAUAUUAUUUUAGAUAAGAGUUCUGUAGUGAUAUACUUCCUACUGUUUCUUAAUUGGAACUGCUACUCACUCUGAAUUUAUUGACUGAAACAACCAUCAUGGCAUCCGUUGAAUAUUCUUUGACUGUAGAGCCAGAUAUUUUCCAUGAUUAUAGAUAACAUGCUUGCAUCUUACCUUAUUUUAGUUUGGAAACCUUGGAGCAUUGGUAUACAGUGAACUAUGGGGAACUACUAGACUUACAAACUAUGGAGAAACAUAGUUUAUCUUAAUGUUUGAGGGGACAUGCAGAGUGAUGGGAGUGGUGGAUAGUUAUACUAGUAGUUAUCUUAGGUUUAACUUUGAUACAUGAGUUUGCCACUUCUUGGUCCUUCACUUGGUCACAAGUUGAAACUUAUAGGAUGAUAUAAUUUUUUUGAAUGAAGAUAAUGAAUCAUGAUGUUUGUAAUGUUUUUUAAGAUAUAGUAGACUAAGCUUCAAGAGUCAUCCAUCCUAAUCUCAAUUCCUUUACUAACUAGUUUGUUGAUUCUGGGAGGCAUUCAUUCCCUCUGGUCACAUUUUUGGUAAUAAGAGGAUUAUAUAAUCUUGUAUUUUGGAGGUUUUCUUUUUAAAGAAUACAUCAAACUUCUGUUUGAUGCAUAAAGUCUUUGCAAUAUCCCCAGCUUCAACCUGUACGUUUACUCUUUCAGUGACUGGACAGACAUGAUUCUCAACCCCCAAAUGAUUCAUUUACUAACCCAUAACAUUUUUGAAUAGCUCUAAUGGUUACAAAAAAGUUCUUUGAUAUACUGAGUUAAAAUGUGCCUUCUUAUCACUUUAACCUAUUGGUUUAGUUCCACCAUCUUUAUCCAUGUGAAGUAAGACAAAGUCCUCUACUUCCUGAAGGAGUAUUUGAGCCUUUUCUUUUUGUGAGAUAUGCAUUACUGACACUUUCAAUUGUUGCUCAUGAUUUGUCUUUUUUUCCCCUCCUAGUGUUUUUAGGACUAUUGCUUCUUCUUUUCUAGUUCUUAUAGCCUAUUUAUGCAUUUUAAGAUAAAUUAGCUCUUUCAGCAAUGUGGUCAAGUGAUCUGUAUAAUUCAUGUUCAACUUGCAGUCAUCUAAAACUUUUCUUUUCACAUGGUCUGUUGUUAUCUCCUAUUUGUCAUUCUGUGCAAGAUAUUCAAGGAUAGGAUUUUACAUUUAUUUUUGUUAAGUUAAUUUCACUGGAUUUUUCAGUGUUUCAUAAAGCCAUAUACCUUUGAGAUAUUUAUUCAGGAAUUCAAAUAUAUUAGUUAUCUACUUAGUUUUAUUUUUCACAUUUGAUAAUUUUGCUGUUCUGAAAUCAAGAAGUUAGUGUGAUUAUUUUCAUCUGGUCUUAGGGAAGUGAACCUCUUAGUUCAACUCUCCUUUCACUGAUUUAGGUACCCAUGAGUUCCAGUUGAAGUUAAUUCAAAAUUAAAUAUUUGGUGCUUAAUUUAGGAGAGGCUCAUAUUGUGUUUAAUCCCAUUUUCUCCCCUUGUCUGUUUUUUUCUUUUAUCUAUUGAUUAUUUUUGUUUCCUAUUUAUAGAUACAUUUAAAAAAUUUAUUUUAGGCACCAAAUCACUGAAGAGUCAGAGUAAUUUCAUUCAAAUUUGAAAAGAAUAGUUUUCACUUUUUGGUAUUUAAAAAAAAUGUAUGGGUUUUUGCUUUUGUUUUUGGCUAUUAAAUGAAUUUCCAUGUUCCAAAGCUCUUCAUAGUAUCUUAAGUUUUAAUUAGGAAAUGCCACUUAGAUGAACAUCUUUUCACUUACAAAUGUCCAUAAUAAGAUUUCUUCUUUUUUAAAAAUGUUGCCUCUUAUUUAUUUAUUUUUUGAUUUUGUUUUGGUACUGGGGAUUGAAUCCAGAGGUCCUUUACCACUGAGCCACAUCCGCAGCCCUUUUUAUUUUUUGAGACAGGAUCUCACUAAGUUUCUUAGGGCCUUUCUAAGUUUCUGAGGCUGCCCUCAAACUUGCUAUCCUCCUGCCUUAUAGGAAUUAUAGAUGUGUGCCACUGUGCCUGGCAAGGCUUCUUUUAAUAUAAGUUGAAAAAUAAUUAAAAGAGAACUAUGUGAAAAAAUUGUAAUAAAAUAAAAUCACUAUAAGCUACUACUAAUUAAUAAUUUACUUUCAUAUGUGGAAACAUUUUAUUAGGUAUAAAACUUUAUGUUACUAUUAUUACUGUUUUGUGCCAGUAACAUAAUAAUAAUAGUAAAAUCUUUCAAUUACAUAUUGAUAUGUAGAAUUAUGUCUCAAUAGAAUAUUUUAUGAAACCAUUUUAUUUCAGGUACACAGAGAUUUUUAUUUUGGUCACCAUUUCUUUUAUAUAGUAUAGAUAAUUCUUUCAUGCUAUUACUGUUUUUACAAAAAUCCUCUUCCUGCUUAUACUUAUUAUUGCAUGACUUAAAUACUGUUUCCUCUGCCAGUUUAAACUCUUGUCAAGCAUCUCUUAUUAUACACAGUCUCUCUUAAUUCUGAACUCUUCAUGCCUUUACUGCUUACAUUCCCAUCAUAUGUUGCCUUGUAUUAUUGAUCUUAUUUUAAAUGAUAUGUCUUAUCCCAUUAACAAAUCUGAAAAUUACUUGAGGGCAAGAUUUGUAUCUUCAUUUUGUUUUUGUCUAAGACCUAGAACAGUACUACAAGCUAACCAUUGAUGAUUAUUAGGAUAAAAUCUAUGUAUUUGUAAAAAUUCUUAGAAUGUCCAAAAAUAAUUUUUGCUUCUAACAUUAGAUGAUUAGAAUUAUCUUUAUGUUAUGCUACUAAUUUGCUAAACAAAUUCUUUUUUGAGGUAAAGAUAAGUUCCUUGUCUAUAUUACCACAAUUUCUGUAUGAAUGGGUCCUAAAUUAAUGAUAUUUCAUUUCUUUUCAGUACUUUAUGCAAAAUUGAUGCUUAAGAAUUGUUUUAUGAAGUGAUUAAUAAAGUCUCAAAUCAAAUGCUCUUUAUUUCUAAAUAGAUUGAAUGAGAACUAGGAAAAGGUUUACGCCCGGCGGGGGGGAAUCUCUGUGAUUCUGAUAUUUUUUUGGAGGUUUAAAAAUAGCUCUAAGUAAUAAUGAUUUUGUGAAAUGAUUAUCAUACAUUUAUAUCUUCUAAAUAUCAGAGGAAGAAUUAUCCUGUUUUUUUUUUUUUGAGUUGGAGUUGAACACCUACAGAUUUCCUUCUGUGGUUCACAGGUGUUUUCUUCUGAAGUGUUUCUUUACUGUUCGGCUUAUGCCCUAAGGAGUACAGACCAAAGAUAUUGUUGGAAUUUGCUAUGAGAAAAAUGUUCAGAAUUCCUUUUAAAGUAGAAAAUGGAUUAUAAAAACUAGCCUCACUUAAUGGUGCAUAUUAAUGUAGUUACUUAAAAUAUAACAGUGAUGAAGUAGGUUAACUAAAGAUAUCACUAAAUAUGUCAUAGCUGGAUAAGUAUAGGGAUUUGGCUAGAGGUAAGGAAGGAAUAGGGGAAACAUUUAAAAAGGUGUAAGAUGAAGUAGAGAAUAUAGAGUGAGUAGAGAGGGGAAGCCAGAUACAAAGCAGAGUAGAUCUAAAUGCCAGAAUGGAAAAGAGAAUUGACAGGAGGAGUUAAGAAAAAGAGGAGUGGUAAAACCAGGAAGAAAUUCAAAAUAAGUUAUUUUCAGUGCUUAGUUGCCAGAGUAAAUAUUAGAAUGCUUAAAAGGCAUUGUCCACUCAUCUUCAUUCUUGGAAUAUAUAACUGACAUUAAUUUUUAGAAAGAGGAUGUUUUAUUGAUUGUAGUCUGUUGACAUAAUUUAUUGUUAAAAUUAUUAUUGUUCAUCUGUACUUGAGGAAAUGUUACAAGAAGAUAGUAAUUUACAGUAGCUUGGAGAUAGAAAUGUGAACUCAGGACUACAUUUGAAAAUAUUUUUUCUUGAUUAUAGAAAUUUACAACAUACAGAAAAGUACAUCCCCAGCCUAUUAUUAUUAUUAUUAUUUUAAUUUUGAGACACAGUCUCAUUAAGUUGCUUUGGGCUUCGCUAAGUUGCUGAGGCAGGUUUUGAACUUGUGAUUCUCCUGCCUCUACCUCCUGAGUUGCUGGGAUUAUAUGCGUGCCCCACCAUAUAUGGCUUUACAACAACAAUUGUUAAAUUUUUUUUUAGGUUCAAAGCAAAUCUAAUGAGUAGAUUUCCCGUAUAACUCCAACUCCCACAUGUGUUGCCUCCCCCAUUAUCAACAUUCUUCCACCAGUGUGGUACAUUUAAAAAUGAAACUGCAUUAACACAUCAUUAUCACUCAAAGUUUGUGGUUUACAUGGGGUUCACCCUUGGUCAUGUACUUUCUAAGAGUUUGCACAAAUAUAUAAUGACGUAUUCACCAUUAUAGCUUACCCAGUAGUUUCACUCCCCUAAGAAUCUUGUGUUCUGCCUAUUCACUUUCCCUCCCUCCUAACUACUGGCAACCAUUGAUCUUUUUAUUGUAUGUAUAAUUUUGUCUUUUCUAGAAUGUCAUGUAGUUAGCAACAUACAGCAUUCAGCCUUUUCAUAUUGACUUUUUUCAUUUACUAAUAUACAUUUAAGCUUCAUCCAUAUCUUGUCCUGGUCUUUUUAGUGCUGGAUAAUAUUCCAUUUCUUGAAUGUACCACAGUUUAUUUCUCCUUUCAUCUAUUGGAAAUCAUGUAAUUUCUUCCAAGUUUUGGUUGUGAUGAAUAAAGCUGCUGUAAACAACAUGUUUUUUUGGUGGACAUUAAUUUUAAUUUAUUUGGGUAAAUUCAAGGAGCAAAAUUGCUCGAUUCUAUGAUAAGGAAGUGGCCAGACUGCCUUCCAAAGUGCAGUUCCACAUUGAAUUAUGGGCCAUGAAUGAAAAAGUCUACAUUCUUGCUAGCAUUUGAUGUUGUCUGUGUUCAUUGUAAUUACUUUGUAACACUUUAUAUAUUUUCUUAUUUUAUGCAUACACAUAUGUAAUGUUAAAUCAUAAUUUAAUUAUUUUCAUAGAUUUGAGCAUACAGGUUAUUUCUUUUAUUUUCUUUUUUUUUCUAUUAGUAAAAUUCUUUCCUCAUAAUUUACUAUAGAUAGAUGUGGUAUCUACAGGUAUAUGCAUAUUUUAAAAGUUUCAAAAUUCUUAAGAUCAUUUUUGACUUUUCAGAGUUAUUCCUUUGGGAAACAAUUUACAAAAACACUUCCUUUUUCUGUGUUUAAAUUUUUUGUGUAAAUCGUGGGACUCUUACAAAUACGCUGUGAAGUUUAACAAAAUCUUCAUUAAAGAUAUUAUUUUUAAAUGUGUAUCCCAAUAAUAAAUAUUUUCUAUAAAAAUAUUUAACAUAAUUUGAUUGAUUUUCAUAAAGUUUUGUGCUUUAUUUACCUAUUGUAGAGGUGCUAUUAUACAAUGAAGUUAAGACACUUAUAUGGUAAUUCAACUGGUUAUUUUGAUUAAAAAUAAUAAAAAUUUUAUAUUAUGAAAUAUGUUUAUGAAUUGGGACCCAAAUAUGACAUGGUUAAUUUUAAAAGUGAAAAUUAAGCCUUACCGUCAUAGUUUGUUUUUUUUUUUUUUCCUUAAGGAAAUUUAUUUUGGGUUAAAAUAAUUAAGCUGUAAAAAAUCUCACAGCCUAAUCAUUUUUAAGCUACUUAAGAUUAUUUGCUUAGUGGUUGUAUCUUUGCUAUUAAUGUUGGAAUGCAUGAAGAAAUUUUCAUACUGUUGUAAAAUUAAUAAAUGAAAAUUUAUUUGAAGACUCUGUUUUUCUUUCCUUGCAACCUCUGUAUGACCUCUAUCUUUAGCCUGGUUUUAUUGAAUAGUAACGAAUUGAUGCAUUGUGUUUAUUGGUUUUCAUUUAGCUCUUAGGAAAUUUCUAUCAAUAGUGUUUGAUCUUAGUUAAAUCUUGAAAUCCAUGUGUCAUCCCAGCAUAAAGUGGGAAGGAAAUGUGUUUUUCAAUUUGGUAAAAGUAAUUUAUUACCAGUUAUGGUAUUAUUCUCUCAGGUGGGGAAGCUAUGUCCGUCCACUUGGCUAUAAAUAUAACUACAAGCAUCCUUUGAUAAAAUAAUUCAUCUAGGACACAUUGCCAUUGCUUGAAUUCAAUAAGUGAACCAUUUCUCCUUCUAUUGAUCUCAUUUCAAAAUUUAAGAUCGAACCUUUAGGGUUUUAUGUCCUUGGUGAUGAGAUGAAAGACAUUUAAGGAAUGAUGGCUUCUUAACAAAUUAAGUAAAUAUGCUUCUUUAUUUUCUUCAUGUAAAGAUCAUUCCAUAAAUAAAAUAAAAAGUGAUCUUACUUCUUUUACAUAAAAAUAUGCUUCUUAAUUUUAAUCUGCCACAUUUUUAUUUUUUGAGAUGAUACAUAUUGUUUAUUUACUUAUGAAUUAAAAUAUGUCCAUCCUCAUUAAAAAAGAACCUGUUAGAAAACUGAACUCUUCAGAAUGUCAUAGGAUAAAAAUAUGCAAUAUGAAAAUAUGAUAACAAAAUUUUUUGUCAUGAUAAUGGUUUUUCUUAGUGCUUCAUGUUCUCCUUGAAGAGGUAACAGUUCAGUAUAGAAUUUUAGUAAUUUGACCAGGUCUUUCACCCACCUAGAAGUUAUUUUAGUAUCUUUGACUUUAUACUAUGCUAUUACUUUUUGAGAGGCAAGGAAUUACUUAUCUUUAUUUAAAGCUACCUUUCAGCCAUAUUAAUCUGGUUACAUUUAUACAUAUUGUUAAAAUCAUGGUUUGGGUUGUUAAAUUACCCACUAUUUUUAAUUUUUUUUUUUUUUUGUACUGGGAACUGAACCCAGAGGUACUUAAUCACUGAACCACAUCCCCUGCCACCCCCCUCCCUUUAAAAAAUAUUUUAUUUAGAGAUAGAGCGUUGCUAAGUUGCUUAGGACUUUGCUAAAUUGCUGAGGCUGGCUUUGAACUUGGGAUCCUCCUGCCUCGGCUUCUGAAACCACUGGAAUUACAGGCAUUUGCCAUAGCAUCUGGUGAAAUUACCCACAGUUUUGAGGGAGAAUUUAAAUAGCUUUUACUUUAGGAUUAUUUAGCCUCUGAAAUGUGACUCCAAGAGUCUCUCCUGAAUGCUCUUGGUAUUCAUUGAAGUGUUUCUACUCUGGCUCCUCAGUGGUUUCCCAUCACUGUAUGAGCAAUUGUUCUUUGUCUGUUCUGGUGGAGUUUCAUUCAACAUGUGUGUAAAAGGACCCCUGUGCAGAUUGUUGGAGCUUUCUUUCUGUAUAGCUUCUUCCUUCCUGGUAUUCUGCCCCACAAAGCCCAGCUGCCUCCAGAUAUGAUUAUCUUGAUCCCAACUCAAGAGACUGCUCUUCUGAUUUUGGGUUUUUCCCUCCCUGAACUGUGUUCUGGAAUGUGCCUUGAGGCAGAAACUAGGCAGAAAGCUAAGAUUGGGUUUAACCUAGUUUGUUCCCUUUUUCUCAGGUAUUACAGGCCUGCACUGCCUAUUGUUGAGUGUCUAAAAUCAGUUAUUUUGUAUAUUAUACCAGUCUUAGCAGGAAGGCAAGUAGGGUCCCACUUACUCCUCCAUGGUGUAAGUGGAAAUCUGGUGUCUGGUGUUCAUUUUGAUGUUAUAAUAUUGCAAAAGAGUAUGGGAGGAUAUCCAAGGUUUGUGAAAAAGUGUAAUAACUCUACUAGUGUUUGGAUGAAUAUAAAGGGUGAUCUGCCCUCUGAGGAUAACACAGAAAGUAAACUGUGACUUAGACUGUGUGUAUCAAGAUUCCCUAGGCAGUGGGAGCCUGAAUGAAAAGUGUAAAUCUUCAGUUUGAAUUGUGUAAGUAGUAUUAUUAAGUGAACUCAGUAUAGGAUUUCCAAUGUAUACAAACUUAGCUUGAAGAUUGUAUGGAAUAUUUUUAUUAAAUUCUGUGAAUAACUGUAUUCCUACAAACUGUUGAUAAAAUUUUUCUUUAAGUUAAUUCUCAUUUUUAUAUCCUUGCACUUUUCAGUUUUCUGAGAUUGAGAGUAAACACUAUAACUUUGAAUUUACCUGUCUGCAUGAGGCAAGUGUUUCUAUUUCUGGGUACACCAAAUCAUUUAAUUCCAGACUCCUACUCCCAGCAUUACUUGUUUAUAUGACAAACAUCAAUGAAAUAUCAGCAAAACAAUUUUUUCAUGUCCAUCAAUUCAUCUAAUUUUUCAUUGAUGUUCCUACAUUAACUGAUAUAAUUCUCUUGUUCUAAAUUGUUAAUGUUCAAUUUAGCAUUCUCAAUAUCUAGAUGCAUAUGUUGUCUAUUUCUUUAAAACUGAUAUGGAACUAUAAAGAAAUAGAUGUUGCAAGUAAAAUAAAGGCUGUGUAUUAGUAUUAUUGUGUGGUUUUAUAUACAGUUUUUGACACUCUGAGUCUGUUUUCUUAGCCUAACUGUUAAUGACGAGGAACUUUACAAAGACAAUGUUAGAAACAGAUUUCUAAUUUUUCACACCUCCUUAACACCAGGUUGUAAGCGCUGUUAAACAUUUGAUCAGGCUGAUCUAGUUUCACUGCUAAUAACUGCUUACAGUCCCAUGAGUAGCCUCUCAGUGGCUGCCAAAUGCUCCUUGCUACUGUGAUCCAGCUAACUAUUGGCAUUUUAUCACCUAGGAGUCACAUGUGGUCACUGAUAUGUGUCACUCAACAUUAGAAUUGUACAGUGCCUCAGGAAUGAGAGAGGUCUCUUUGUUACAUCCAACAUGUCUUGUAAGAUCCUUAGGCGAUCUAAUCUGCUCUAAAUUCUCUAUAUCUGAGGCUUCUCUUGUCACAAGUACUGGGUUUACAGUUGAAAGAUGGGAAGUGGAAUUCAGAUACAAGAUUUUGGAUACCUAUUAUUUAUCAAUGCUAAAUGGCAAUAGGUAAGCCAUCCUUUCAAAAUAUCCCUCCCUUAGCUCUCUACCAUCCUUUUAAAGUUUAUUUUCUUUCUUUGCUUUAUUUCCUUUUAAGAGGAAAUAAGGAGAGGGAGGCUAGUGCCUUUUGAGGAUCUUUUUAUUAAAAAGAAAAGAAAAGCAGUGGUGUGUGUGUAUGUGUGUGUGUGUGUUCUAUCAAAGCAGGGGAAGGUUUAGUGAAGUACAGAAGGGAAUUGAGGGGGAGGGAAGAAGGAUGGGAUAAAGAAAGAACAGUGGAAUGAAUCUAACCUAACUUUCCUAUGUACAUAUACCACAGUGAAUCUCAUCUUUAUGUAUUUCCACAAGGCACUAAUUAAAAAUAUACCUAAGAAAAGAGCAGAAAGAUCAGGUGAGGGAAGGGAAUAGGGGGAGAGAAAAGGGAAGCACAAGGAGUGAGAAUAUUAUAUUACAUACCUUUAUAAUUAUUCCAAAAUGAAUCCUAAUGUUAUGUAUAACUAAAAGAAAAAAAGAAAAAAGCAAAUAAAACACCUAAAAUUUACCCUACAUAAUUAUUAAAAUUUACCCUACAUAAUUAAUUUAUAUCUUUUUCAAAAAUUAUUAUUUGUGUAUAGGGGUUAGGAAUUAGUGUGAAGAAAUUGUUUUGGCAACUUCCAUAUUGUGGAACAGUAUAGAAAUUUAGUGAGAAGCCAAAUUUUAAGGCUUCCAAGGGGAUGGAUGAUGCUAUGAUAAAAUAGGUAUCUAAGAGGAAAUCAUAUACUUCUGUCUUGCAUGCUUUAAUGGAAGUACCCAAAGAUUCUAUAAGUCCCUUAUGCCUGCUAAGAGUUAUUCAUUCAUUUAAAUAUAUUUAUUCCAUACCUAUUUUUUCAGGUGCUAGAGAUGGAGAGAAAGAGAAAUCAGACAGUUAAAGUGAUUGAGGAGUUUAAGUUCAAAAGAAAUUAAAACAGCUGUUUUUUGAGGCUAUUAUUCUACCCUACCUCUUUUCUACCUUUGUAUAUAUAGUUAUUAGGCACCCCCUCCAAAAAAAUAAGUGAAUCAUUGAUGUGCAAAUUUCUAUUUAUUUGAAUCAUUUGCUUUUUCCUUACUAAACAAAAGAUGGUAAAGUACAAACAAAAUCAUUUGUCAUUACUGAAAUUUUAGAUGGAUGGAUGUUUUCCCAUAUUAAAUGGCUACUCACUCUUGCUUUCAACACUACAUCAUUUUGGAAUAUUAAAAGAAUAGAUUAAAAAAGACAGGUUUUUAUUUAUUUAUUUAUUAUUUAUUUAUUUUAGAGAGAGAGAGAGAGAGAGAAUUUCAAUAUUUAUUUUUUUCAGUUUUCAGAGGACACAACAUCUUUGUUUGUAUGUGGUGCUGAGGAUCGAACCCGGGCCGCACGCAUGCCAGGCGAGCGCACUACCACUUGAGCCACAUCCCCAGCCCAAAGACAGGUUUUUAAAUAGGCCUUCACAAGACCUAAAUGAAGAAUAGGUAUAAGAUAUUAUAUGGUUCUGUUGAUAGAUAUGGCCAGUUGUUGGUAGUUGGACUUUUCAGUACAUAGGCACUUACCUAAUGGUAUUUAUUCAUAGUGCAAAACUCCAUCUCAAAAGAAUACUGAGGCAUAAUUAAAUGGAAUCUACAAAUGGCACAUCUUGUAUAUUUUCCUGAAAAAUCAUUUAAUUAUUGAAUCAUGUUAUUAUAACUAGUGUGCAUAAUAUAAAGGAGAUUCUUGAUGACUUGUGUUCAUAGUGUUAGAAAUCUUUUCUAUUAUGUAAAGUCAUAUCCACUUUAACUGUUUUGUAAUUUAAGAUUUUAAAAAUUAGACUGUUUUUUAUUAACUGACUUUUGUGAUUAUUUUAUGUAAUUAUAUACACACAUAUAUGUAUGUAGAAAUUUAGAAAUUAGCUUUGAACUAUAGGCAGUAUUUACUUUUUAUUUAUGUGUGAUUUGGUAGACUCAUUUAGAAAUUAGCAAUACUGUCUCAGAAAACUUCUAUUUUUGUGUCUUGCUUAUAUAGUUCCUUAUUUGCUAUAAUUUUGUUCAGAGGAAGAAAUUUCAAGUCAAAUUAGGUACUUAAUUGUAGAAAGAAUUCAGUGAAAUAAGGUCUGUGCCCUUUCCAAGGCUGUAAAAUCAAGAUAGUUGAGAGUUGAGUAUUUGCCGUAAUUAGGCUGUUUUUUGAAGGGGAAAGGGGGGUUACUAGGGAUUGUCAUCACUGAAGUUUUAGAUGAAUAGAUAGUUACUAGGGGUGCUUUACCACUGAGCCAAAUCCCCAGUCCUUUUAAUUUUUUAUUUUAAGACAGGGUUUCACUAAGUUGCCCACGCUGGCCUGAACUUCUUAUCCUUCUGCCUUGGCUUCCUGAUUCACUGGGAUUAUAGCUGUGUACCACUGUGCCUGGCUCUUUGAAUGAAUAUAUUUAUAUUCACACUUAUAUUUAUAAACAUGAAGAUUAAUGCAUAAUAUUGAUUGUAAAUUCAACCAAUUUCAUUUUUAUUUACUUGUAUUGUUCUACAUAUUCUUUGCUUUAAAAAAAAAUCCUUGCGCUUUUCUCUGCAUGUAGAAUAAUUUAUUUAGGUUAGAUGCCUGGUAAUGGAAUUGUUGAGUCAGAAUAUGUGAACUUUUUGAAAGGUCUUGAUUUGUUUAUUGACAAAGUAAUUAUAUAAGAAAUUGUACUAGUUAAUUGUAAUCAGUGUUGUUUGAGUAUCCAUUUCAUUGCAUGUUAUAUAUUUAAGCGAGAAUUUGAAUUCCAAUAUUGCUUUAAAAUGUAUUUCUCUGAUUACCAGUGCUGUUUAACAUUUUCUGUUUUGUAAAAUUGGUUGUGAUGUUUGUUAUUGUCCUUUUUUAUUUUUUAAUUUUUUUUUAGUUCUUUUGGAUACAAUACCUUUAUUUUAUUUAUUUAUUUUUAUGUGGUGCUGAGGCUCGAACCCAGCGCCUUGCACAUGCUAGGCAAGUGCUCUACCACUGAGCCACAACGCCAGCCCCUAUUAUUGUCUUUUUUAAAAAAAUUUUUUAAGUUGAAGAUUUACACAAUACCAUUGUUUUAUUUAUUUAUUUUUAUGUGGUCCUGGGGAUCGAACCCAUUGCCUCACAUGUGCUAGAUAAGCAUGCUACCACUGACCUACAACCCCAACACUUGUUAUUGUUUUUAUCCACUUAUUUAUAAAGGCUUAACAUUUUUGUUUCACAAAGGUCAUUUUAAUAUUUAAAGAUAAAUAAUAUCUCAAUGUCUUCCCCUCACUGAAACAGAAAAAAAGAAAAACCACAAAACUGAUCAAGACUAAUUUAGACAACAAACUGACAAAAAUAAAAUAUAUAAGAGGUUUAAUAUUUUUAUGUAGCCUACAACCUUUGGGUUUUUAAUUGUAAAACAAUGAAAAAAAUUGAAAAAAGACAUAAAUAAUGGGAUGAUAUUCUAUGUUCAUGGAUUUUAAAUAUUAGACCAUUUUUCCAUGUAUACAGACAUACAUAUCUUUAUGCAUGUGUGUGUGUGUGUGUGUGUGUGUGUGUGUUUGGUGGCACACAGAUGUAUGCAUGUUAGGAAAGUGCUCUCACUGGACUAUAUCCCUAGCCAAAAUAUAGCUGAAUUAUAUGAAUACAUACAUACUGAUAUACAUAAAUGAAGGAGAGAAGAAUUAGCUCUGAACUAUAAGCAGUAUUUACCUUUAUUUAUGUGUGGGAGAUCGGAAGAAUUAAUGUUGUUAACAUAUCCAAACUACCCAAAGCAAAUCUACAAAUUCAAUGUAAUUCAUAUCAAAAUUCCAGUGACAUUUUCACAGGAAAAGAAAAAAAAUUCUAAAGUUUAUAUGGAAUCACAGAAGAUCCUGAAUACUCAAAGCAAUUUUGAGCAAAAGAACAGUUGGAAGCAUCAUCUUAUCUGAGUUCAAAAUAUACUAUACAGCUAUAAUAAUCAAAACAUCAUGGCAUAGAUGGCAUUAAAAACAGACACUUAGACCACUGGAACAUAAUAGAGAACCCAGAAAUAAAUCCACACAUUUAUGUUCAACUGAUUUUCAACAGAGAUGACAAGAACACACAAUAGGAAAAAGCAGCCUCUUCAAUAAAUGUUGCUGAGAAAAUUGGAUAUCUACAUGCAAGAGAAUGAAUUUACAAAAAUGAACUCAAAAUCAUAGACUUUAAAUGUAACACCUGAAACAGAACUACUUGAAGAAAACAUAGGAGGGAAUCUUCAUGACAUAGGUUUUAGCCAUGCUUUUAUGAAUGUGGCCCCAAAACACAGGCAACUAGAAACUAGACAACUAAAAAUCUUUUGCAAAGGAAACAACACAGAGUGAAGAAAUAACCUACGGAAUUGGAUAAAAUAUUUGAAAAUCAAACAUCUUCUAAAGGUUUAACAUUAAAAAUACGCAAGGAACCCAAUUCAAGAGCAAAACAACAACCUGAUUAAAAAAUAAACAAAUGACAUGGUUGUAUAUUUCUGAAAACAAUGCAUAUGAAUUACCCACAGGUACAUUAAAAAAUACUCAGCAUAACUAACUAUGAGAGGAAUGCAAAUUAAAAUCACAAUGAAGGGCACAUUGGUACAUGCCUAUAAUCCCAAUGACUUGGGAGGCUGAGAAAGGAGAAUCACAAGUUUGAGGCCAGAUUCAGCAAUUUAGUGAGAACUUGUCUCAAAUAAACACUGAAGCUGGAUAUGGUGGCACAUAUCUGUAAUCCUAGCUGAGGCAGGAGGAUUAUAAAUUUGAGGUCAGCCUGGGCACUUUAGCAAGACCCUAUCUCAAUUUUUUUUUUUCUUAUGUGCUGGGAAUUGAACCUGGGGCCUUGGGCAUGCCAAGCAAGCAUUCUACCACAGAGCCACAUUGCUAGACCCCCACCCCAAAAUUUUAUAAAAUGGGAAUGGGGUACAGUGGGGGUACUGUCAAUUGAGCUUAGUGGUAGAGUGCUUAUCUAGCAUAUACAAAGCCCUGAAUUUAAUCCUUAGUACCACAAGAAAUUAAAAUAAUUUUUAAAAGGAAAUAAAAUGAAACAACAGCAGCCCCAAAUGAGGUGUCACCUCACAUCUGUUAGAAUGGCUAUUAUAAAAAAGAAAAAGAGAAGCAGAAUGUGGGAGUGCACACCUGAAAUCCCAGCAGCUUGGGAGGCUAAGGAAGGAGGAUCACAAGUUCAAAGCCAGCCUCAGCAAAAGAGAGGCACUAAGCAACUCUGUGAGACCCUGUCUCUAAAUAAAAUACAAAAUAGGGCUGAGAUGUGGCUCAGUGGUUGAGAGCCCCUGAGCUCAAUCCUUGGUACCAAAAAAAAGAAAGAAAGAAAAGAAAAAAAGAUAAGCAUUGGUAAGGAUGUAGGGAAAAAGGAACUUGUACACUGUUGAUAGUACAGCUAUUAUGAAAACAGUAUGAAGGUUCCUCAAAAAACUACAGAAAGAAUUACCAUGUGAUCUAGCAAUUCUACCACUGGGCAUCUAUCCAUAGGAAAUGAAAUCAGUGUAUUAAAGAGAUAUAUGCAUUUCUAUGUUAAUUGCAGCAUUAUUCACAAUGGCCUACAUAUGGAGGCAAUUAAGUACAUCAGUAGAGAAAUGGAUAAAGAAAAUGUAGAAUACAUGGAGUACUCUUUAGCCUUAAAAAAGGAAAUCCUGUCAUUGAUAGUAACAUGGAUGAUCUGGAGGACCUUAUGUUAAGUAAAAUAAGCCAGGUAGAGAAAAAUAUAUACCACAUGAUCUCACUAUAUGUGGAAUCUAAAAAAGUCAAACUCAGAGAAUAGACUACUGAUUACCAGGGACUGGGAGUGAAGAUAAUUGGGAGAUAUUGGUCAAAGGAUAGAAAAAUUUGGGUAGGAGGAAUAAAUUCAGGAUACCUAUUAUACAAUAUGUGACUGUAGUUAAUAACAAUGUAUUACAUACUUGAAAAUUGUUAAGAGAGUAGAUUUUAUGUGUUUUCACUACCAAUUAAUAAAUAAAUGAGAGAAUGGGAAUGUUAAUCAGCUUGAUCCAGCCAUUCAAAAAUUUAUACAUGUGUCAAAACAUCAUGUUGUAUGCCAUAAUUAAAUACAAUUGUCAUUAAAAAAAUAAAAAAAAACUAAAGUUGCCAAAAAAAAUUCUAAAUGCUGUCCUCUUUCAAAAACAAUUCCUGACCAAAACACACUGGGGAAAAAUAUUUACAGAAAAUCUGUUGGGUUUAACAUUUUUAUGUAGACACAUACCUUCAUACCUUCGAUUUUUAUUAUUGUGAGUGGCACAAAGUUUAAUCUUUUACUGGGGUCAUAAAACUACCAUUAUGACUGUUAGAGGACAGUGCUAUAAUAAGAGUUGCCUCAGGCCUUCUGUGGGAGGUAUGGGGAUGUCUUCCCUUACUCUUAAGUAGGCCAUACUAGUUUUACAUAGUUUCUGACCCAUCUCUCCUAGUUGAAUUUCAUCUCUCACUUCUUAUUUUUAUUAAUGUUUUACCAGUAGCAGUAAAUCAUAUUUCCUUCUGUAUACACAUUGUAUGUAUUUGGUACUUAUUAAUUUUAAUAAUGGUUUGAACAUUUCUUGAUUAAAUUUUUAAUGUAACAUUACACACACUUAUCACUAUUUAAUUCCUCCAUUAUCAGAUAUUUAGGUUGCCAGUUUUUUACUGCUGUGAUUUUUCCACAAGCAUCAUUAUGAAUAGUUUGGAUUUCAGAUUAAUUAUUUAGAAUAAUAUUUCAGAAUAAAAAUUAUUUGGUUAAAGAAUAUAAAAGAUUUAUUUAUUUUAAAAAUUAGUUUGUUUAUUUCUUUUUAAAUGGGUUAUGUAAACACGGGAAAUAAAUAAAAAACAAGUUAUAUUAUAACAAAAUCUCCCUCUUAUCCUAGGCCUCCAGUCCCUGGUUAAAAAAAAAAAAAGUCUUGUAGUAAAAUAUACUAUUUUAAUUCAAGUAGUCCCACAAAGGUGAGAGGCAUGGUAGUGACUUGGCUCUGGUACUUGUGUUGUGUAUGUAUAAAUAUCUCUGGAAGAAUAUAUGUGUAAUGUAGCUGGGCAUAUACACUAACCCUGUUCUACACUUUUUUACUUACUAAUUUAUCUUCUCACCUUGCCAUGUUAUUUUCCUGAAAAACUGCAUCAUUUACAUUUCCAUAUUUUGCCCUUAUAGGCGCUGAAUGCCUAUUUAAUGUUUUAAAAUCUCUGGUACAUUCAUUAGUGAAGUUUUGAAAUAUUUCUUAUGACUAGGUGAUCAAAUAUUCUUCCUUAGCAUUGCUUAUUGGCUGUAUGUAACCAUUCUUAUUUGACUUUUCAUUUGUAUACCUUGUUCAUUAUUUUAAAAUUAAUGUCAUUAUAUUCUGACAUGUCAUUUUAUAUAUAUACAUAAAUAUGUGUAUAUAUAUGUGUGUGUGUGUGUAUAAAUAAUAUUUAGCAUAUUAGCCUUUUGUCAUCCUUUUAAUUGCAUAUUCCAUUUACUCAGUCCUUUAUUGCUUUCUAAUUUUAUUUGAUUUUUUUUUUAGACGUAAAAAAGCCAAGUUGUUUUAUUUAUUAAUUUUUCUGGUUGUAUACAAAGUAUAUUCACACCAAUUUGUAUCUUCAUACAUGUAAUUUGGAUCAUAAUGAUUGCCACAUUCCACCAUCAUUUAUAACCCCAUGCCCCCUCCCUUCCCCUCCCACCCCUCUGCCCUAUCUAGAGUUUGUAUAUUACUCCCAUGCUCCCACUCCCUAUCCCACUAUGAAUCAGCCUCCUUAUGUCAAAGAAAACAUUCAGCAUUUGGUUAUUUGGGAUUGGCUAACUUCACUUAGCAUUGUCUUCUCUAACUCCAUCCAUUUACCUGCAAAUGCCAUGAUUUUAUUCUCUUUUAUUGAUGAGUAAUAUUCCAUUGUGUACAUAUGCCACAUUAAAAAAAAAUCCAUUCAUCUAUUGAAGGGUAUCUAGGUUGGUUCCACAGUUUAGCUAUUGUGAAUUGUGCUGCUAUAAAUAUUGAAGUGGCUGUGUUCCUGUAUAUGCUGUUUUUAAGUCCUUUGGGUAUAGACCAAGGAGAGGGAUACCUGGGUCAAAUGGAGGUUCCAUUCCCAAUUUUCCAAGAAAUCUCCAUACUGCUUUCCAUAUUGGCUGUACCAAUUUGCAGUCCACCAGAAGUGUAUGAGUGAGUGUACCUUUUUCCUCACAUCCUCGACAACACUUAUUGUUGUUUAUCUUCAUAAUAGCUGCCAUUCUGACUGGAGUGAGAUGAAAUCCUAGAGUGGUUUUGAUUUGCAUUUCUCUAAUUGCUAGUGAUGAUGAACAUUUUUUCAUAUAUUUGUUGAUUGAUUGUAUAUCAUCUUCUGAGAAGUAUCUGUUCAGGUCCUUGGCCUAUUUGUUGAUUGGGUUAUUUGUUGUUUUGGUGCUUAGCUUUUCAAGUUCUUUAUAUACCCUAGAGAUUAGUGCUCUAUCUGAUGUGUGAGGGGUAAAUAUUUGCUCCCAAGAUGUAGGCUCUCUUUUUACCUCACUGAUUGUUUCUUUUGCUGAGAAGAAACUUUUCAGUUUGAGUCCAUCCCAUUUAUGGAUACUUGAUUUUAAUUCUUGUGCCACAGGAGUCUUAUUAAGGAAGUUGGGGUCUAAUCUCAUGUGAUGAAGGAUUAGGGCCUACUUUAUCUUCUAUUAGACACAGGGUCUCUGGUUUUAUUCCUAAGCCCUUGAUCCAUUUUGAGUUGAGUUUUGUGCAUGGUGAAAGAUAGGGGUUGCCUUCAAUUUUUCUCAUUUAGAAUGAUGUUGGCCUGGGGCUUAGCAUAGAUAGCCUUUAUGUUGUUGAGAUAUGUUCCUGUUAUCCCUAUUUUUUCUAGUGUUUUGAGCAUAAAGGGGUGCUGUAUAUUGUCAAAUGCUUUUUCUGCAUCUACUGAGAUGAUCAUAUGAUUCUUUUUUUUUUUUAAAGAGAGAAUUUUUUAAUAUUUAUUUUUUAGUUUUUGGUGGACACAAUAUCUUUAUUUUAUUUUUAUGUGGUGCUGAGGAUCGAACCUAGCGCCCCACGCAUGCUAGGCAAGCAUGCUACCGCUUGAGCCACAUCCCCAGCUCUGAUCAUAUGAUUCUUAUCUUUAAGUCUAUUAAUGUGAUGAAUUAUAUUUAUUGAUUUCUAUAUGUUGAAGCAACCUCAUGUCCCUGGGAUGAAUCCCACUUUAUUGUGGUGGUACAUGAUCUUUUUGAUAUGUUUUUGUAUUUGAUUUGCCAGAAUUUUAUUGAGAAUUUUUGCAUCUAUGUUCAUUAGAGAUAUUGGUCUGAAGUUUUAUUUUUUUAAUGUGUCUUUGCCUGGUUUUGGAAUCAGGGUGAUAUUGGCCUCAUAAAAUGAGUUUGGAACUGCUGCCUCUUUUUCUAUUUCCUGAAAUAAAUUGAAGAGUAUUGGUAUUAGUUCUUCUUUAAAGGUCUUGUAGAACUUGGCUGUGGAUCCAUCCAGACCUGGGAUUUUUCUUGGUUGGUAGACUUUUGAUGGCAUCUGCUAUUUCAUCACUUGAAAUUGAUCUGUUUAAAUUGUGUAUAUCGUCCUGAUUCGAUUUGGGCAAGUUAUGACUCUAGAAAUUUGUUGAUACCUUUGAUAUUUUCUAUUUUAUUGGAGUACAAGUUUUCAAAAUAAUUUCUAGUUAUCUUCUGUAUUUCUGUAGAGUCUAUUGUGAUAUUUACUUUUUCAUCAUGUAUGUUAGUGAUUUGAGUUUUUGCUCUCCUGUUCUUCAUUAGCAUGGCUAAGGGUUUGUCAAUUUUAUUUAUUUUUUCAAAGAACCACCUUUUUAUUCUGUCAAUUUUAAAAAUUAUUUCUUUUGUUUCAAUUUCAUCUCCGAUUUUAAUCAUUUCCUGUCUUCUGCUGCUUUAGGUAUUGAUUUGUUCUUCUUUUUCUAGGGCUUUGAGAUGUAAUGUUAAGUAAUUUAUUUGUUGACUUUUUCUUCUUUUAAGUAAUGAACUCCAUGCAAUGAACUUUCCUCUUAGAACUGCUUUUAUAGUGUCCCAGAGAUUUUGAUAUGUUGUAUCUGUGUUCUCAUUCACCUCUAAAAUUUUUAAAAUCUCCUCUUUGAUGUCUUCUUCAACCCAUUGUUCAUUCAGUAACAUUAUUUAGUCUCCAGGUGUUGGAGUGGAUUUUAUUUUUUAUUUUAUCAUUGAUUUCUAAUUUCAGUCCAUUAUGAUCUGAUAGAAUGCAAGGUAGUAUCUCUACUUUUUUGUAUUUUCUGAGAGUUGCUUUGUGGCGUAGUAUAUUGUCUGUUUUAGAGAAGGAUCCAUGUGCUGCUGAGAAGAACGUGUAUUCUUUUGCUGAAAGAUGAAAUAUUCUAUAUAUGUCAGUUAAGUCUAAGUUAUUGAUUGUAUUAUUGAGUUCUGUAGUUUCUUUGUUCAGCUUUUGUUUGAAAGAUCUGUCUAGUGAUUAAAGAGGUGUGUUAAAGUUACUCAAAAUUAUUGUGUUAUGGUCUGUUUGACUCUUGAACUUGAGAAGUUUGUUUGAUAAACAUAGAUGCUUCAUUAUUUGGGGCAUAUAUAUUUAUAAUUGUUAAGUCUUGUUGGUAUAUGGUUCCCUUGAGCAUUAUGUAGCAUCCUUCUUGACUGACUUUAGUUUGAAGUCUACUUUAUUUGAUAUGAGGACGGCAAUCCCCGCUUGCUUCUGUAGUCCAUGUGAUUGGUAUGAUUUUUCCCAACCCUUCACCUUCAGUCUGUGGAUGUCUUUUCCUGAGAUGAGUCUCUUGGAGACAGCAUAUUGUUGGGUCUUUUUUUUUGAUCCAAUCUGCUAGUCUAUGUCUUUUGAUUGGUGAGUUUAGGUCAUUAACAUUCAGGGUUAUUAUUGUGACAUGAUUUUUAUUCCUAGCCCUUUUUGUUUAUUUUUGGUAUUUAAUGUGACUUGGUUUCUCCUCUGAUCAGAUUUUCCUUUAGUGUAAUACCCCCCUCUGCUGAUUUUCAUUAUUGUUUUUCAUUUCCUCUUCUUGGAAUAUUUUGCUGAGGAUGUUCUGUAGUACAGGCUUUCUAGUUGUAAAUUCUUUUAAUUUUUGUUUAUCAUGGAAGGUUUUCAUGUCAUCAUGAAAUCUAAAGCUUAGUUUUGCUGGAUAUAAGAUUCUUGUUGGGAUUCAUUUUCUUUCAGAGCUAGGUAUAUGUUGUUCCAAGGUCUCCUGGCUUUGAGGAUCUGGGUUGAAAAAUCUCCUGAGAUACGAAUUGGUCUCCCCCCAUAUGUGAUCUGAUUCCUCUCUCUUGUGGCUUCUAAGAUUCUAUCCUUAUUCUGUAUGGUAGGCAUUUUCAUUCUAAUGCGCCUUGGUGUAGAUCUGUUGUAAUUUUGUACAUCUGGUGUCCUGUAAGCCUCUUGUAUUUGGUUUUCCAAUUGUUCUUCAUGCUUGGGAAAUUUUCUGAUAUUAUCUCAUUGAUGAGAGCAUUCCUUUGGUUUGAAACUCUAUGCUUUCCUCUAUCCCAAUAACUCUUAGAUUUGGUCUUUUGAUGCUGUCCCAUAAUUUUUGGAUGUUCUGUUCAUGGUUUCCUACUGUCUUCACGGUGUGACCAACUUAUUUUCCAUAUUGUAUACUUUGUCUUCAUUAUCUGACGUUCUUUCUUCCAAGUGAUCUAGUCUGUUGGUUAUGCUUUCUAUUGAGUUCUUAAUUUGAUUUAUUGUGUCCUUCAUUUCAAGGAUAUCUCACUGUUUGUUUUUCAGAGUCUCUAUCUCUCUCUUGAAGUAAUCUUUUGCAACCUCUAUUUGCUCUUUUUUUUCUCUUUGUUGGAGUGAUCAAUUUUUACCUGUAUUUGCUCAUUUAGGUCAUUCACAGGUCAUUUUAAUUAUGAACCUUCUGAACUCCUCUGACAUUUCAUCAACUUCACUGUUCAUGGAUUCUGUUAUUAUAGUGUCCUGGUUUUGGGGCACUUUCCUCCUUUGUUUUUUCAUGUUGUCUAUGUGUCUUCCUUUCUUGCAUUGUGGAUAUGAGAUAUUACAGUUUUUCCCUAUAUUCUUGUACUACCUGUGCAGAUUGUUUGUACCUCACCUUGAUGUUGGGUUUCCAGACCCUGCUGUUGUCGCUCAAUGUAUUCUACUGCUUCCCUGGACCUGGGUCCUGUGCAAGUUGGCAUGGGUGGAUGUGGGCCUGUGGGCUUGGCCUAGAGUAGCCUGCUGGUUGGAAGCGGCAAUCCUGCACAAGAGGCUAGGAUCUGGCAGGUAUCUGCCCAGCUGGUGGAGGAGUGGACUGGGCCUACUGUGAGCCUGGGUCCCACGCAGGCUGGUGUUAAUUUUAUAUGAUUUUUGAAGGGGCAGUCAGCUGUUUAAUGUUUGACAUUUAAAAAAAAUUUUCAUGCAUCUCUAAUCCUCUUUUAAUUGUAAAUUUAAAAUAUAACAAAUCUCAUUUUUGUUACAGUCAUGUGUCACAUAAAAUUAAGUGGGAUUUCCCCAUUCUUCUUUUAAUAGAUCACAAGGUUAGACUGUAGAUUUUAAAUUAUUCAAUUUUAAAUUAUAAAUCAAAAUUAUAGAUUUGGAAUUACUGAAGACUAGUUGAAGGAGAUUGGCUCUGUUUGACUGGAAAUUGAUAGAAUUUGAAUUGUGGUAUUUUAUCAUUGUUGAUUUUCCAUUCUGUGUACUAUGUAGUUGUGAGUGCAUGUGUGAGUAAUUGAAAGAUAGUAAGUUUAGUGUAUAUAACUUGCAUAAGUCAAAUGUAAUUAUUACUUAGAGGAAGCUCCCAGUGGACUUCCCUUUUGGCUCCUCUCUAUGUUCUUCUCAUUUUAAUAUCUACCUUUAAAGCUUAGGCACCUGUGGUGACCAGGGAAUAAAGAAGUUAUUGAGUUAUAUCAGAUGAUAUACUUUGUAUUUCUGUCUUUGUUUUUUUUCUUUCUCAAAUUUUUGUCCAUGAUUUUGAUAACUCAAUCACUGAUAUGCAGUUCAAAAUAGAAUGAAAUAAAGAUAAUUUGAAGAUGUAUGACCCAUGAAUCAGAUAUACCUUUUCUUUAGUAAGUGUAAUAUGGUGGUGGUGGUGGUGACAAUAAUGGAGGAGGAGGAGGAGGAGAAAGAGGAUAAGAUGAUGAUGAUCUGGGUCUGUUUUUUGCUAUCAACUCUCACCAUAUGAUUGUUAAUUUUUCUAUGUAUUUAGAUUAUAUUAUAAGCUAUUAGAUUGACUAGCUAUACUUUAUCAAAAGUACUUCAAUUUCUAAAGAUCAUAAAAAGGAAAAAGAAAUAUUAAUUCAAAAGUAUAUACUAUUUAAAUAUCAGUAAAUUCAACAUUUAUCUAAAAUUUUUCCCUUUUUAGUAGAAAUUGAAUCCAAAUAAAAUGUUACCUUCUUAUGUUUGGUGAUCUUAUGUCACUGGAUAAGGGAGCAUGCUUUGAUUUAACUGCAUGGAUGGAAAAAUGUCACUUUCAAUUUUCCUGAAAUCAUUUGUGUUCAAAUAGUAUCUUUUACUUCAGGGUUUUUCUUAUAGAACUUUCUGGACAUUCUAAUUUCUGGUGACUUCAGGAUUUUUGUUGUGGGGAGCUAAUAUAAGUACAUAGCAUUUGUAGCUGAAGCUGAUAGCUCUUGCUAUUGCUGUGUGGAGUUCCUCAGGAGCAGGAAGUGGGACAGAAAGGAAUGUUGAAUGUGGGAGAAAUUGUGGCAUUAGAAAUCAUUACAUCACUUUGUAAUACAUUAUUGGAUGUAGGAUAACUGAAAUUAUAAUUGUUAUUGUUUAAUGUACUAAUUCUUUUAGCAAUACAAGGAAAGUGUUAUUCUUUCCAUUUGACAAAUGAGGAAACUGAGAUUCAGAGAAAAUGUAUUUUGCCUAAGUAAACAUAGGUACCAUAAAAACAUAAAGAAAGUGAAUUUAAUUUUGGACAUGGUCAAUUUUAAGAGAGAAACAUCUUGUUAGAAACUUCACACAGUAAUUUGGAGAAGCAGAUUUGGAACUUGGGACAGAGGAUAAAGUGAAAGGGAUAAGUUUGGGAAAUUCUGUGCACAGAGUUGAUAAUUAAAAUACCGGAGAAUUGCUGGUUAUGUUAUGGAGUCAUCACAGCAGUAGAGUUAAUUAGGUGUUCACCCAUGCAUUGUUUCCUGCCACUCUUUUUGGAAGAUAGGUCCUAACUAUCUAGAAGCAUUAAUCUUGUUCAGAGGAGCUUGCAAAACAUAGAUAGAUGAGGUGGCAUUAUAGAUAGAUUUUCUUAGCCUGGUUCCAUUCUAUCACCCUGUCUGCAAUGAUGAGCUACCACAGUAUAGAUUCUAAGGUAACAGAGUGGGCAUACACCCAGGGAAGGUGCUUCAGAGUCUCAUGUUAUUUGAAACCCUUUCCCCUAUUGAUUCUGAGCCUUUUCCAAUACAUUUUUUUUUUCUCUUUAAGACUCACUGCCUAGAUCCAGAGAGGAAGAAAGUGGGGAUUAUUGCUUGUAAUUGUAUUUGUAAUUGUUGGAAAAGUGAAAUUACUUAAUUCAUUUGUUUUACCAAUAAAAGAGCUUAUUAAUGUUUAUAAAUUAUUAAGUAUACGAGCAGUAAGGUUUUGAUAAGUGACAUGAUUAAAGAGAAAAAUCCAUAUUUUUUGCUUGUAAUUAGAUAUUAUUUUUGUUUUUUAAAUAGGAAAAAUAGAAGAAAUUUAUUAGUGACUUUACUAUCAUAAGGAAGAGAUUACAAAUUAUAAAGAAGUAAGAAGUAACUCACUUGACUUUAGGUAAUGGGGUUUAUUGAAAGGACACAGCAAUAAUUGUGCUAUGCCUUAAUUGUUCUGAUGUCCGUCCUCUUUCCCAAGUCCCAUUAUGGUGAUCAUGCUUCGUUCUGUCUCUUACUUUCAAAUUCCCAAACUUGGUGGAACAACCUUAUUGUUUUGUUUCUAACAUAGACCCCUAUUGUAGUGUAAACCAUUGAUUAGUUUCUGGGCCCAAGGCUUUGCAAACUGCAAGGAAUUACUUGAAGUUGUUUCUUCUCACUUGGGCAGUAGGGCAGCACUGCCACUGGCAAUUUUGAGGCUUUAUAGUCUAGUCAGGAAGAUUUUACAAUUUUUUCUUUCCCAGUAAAAUUUGCCAUGAUGGUCAGUGAAUAGGAUGAUAGGGUGGGAAUGGUUAGUGGAGAGGCAGGUGUGUGGUAUAUAUCUGAAGAAUGUGUGCCAAGAGUUACCAGCAGAAAUAUUUAUUUGAAACUACAGGGGCAUUCAGAUUCUUGUCUCCUUUCUGAUGCACUCUGAGGUUGAGUCACUUCCACUGGGAGACACAGCUUCUGAAAACAGCAAAAACCAUAUCAUAUGUGUUAGGGUAGGGAAAAAAAGUUGAGAAGUACUGAUCUAGGAAAUGUUAUUGAAUUUGAAAAGAAAUGGGAAAAUGAAUGAGGAAAGAAUUACAUGGACAGAGCACCUUAUUUUGCACUGGGUUUCUUUGUGUAACAGAUGCAUGAUAUGUUGUCAUGAAAAUGAAGAACAUUAUCACUUUUGCAAAUGCCAUCAAUCUUUAACAAUCAAAAAUUCGCUUGGCAAGAGAAGUGGUGCAGUAUACAGAAUUGUGGUUAUUGUUACAUUGUAUUGUUUACUGUAAACCCAACCCAAUAUUGGUAAAUAUAGUGUAGCAGAAACUGAACUGUUGUGAGCUAUCUGGGCAUCCGUCCAAGAUAUCAUUAAAAAUACUGCCUCAGACUAAUUUGGGUUUAUGAAUAAUAUUUUAACAGCUCAACUGAAAUUGAGCCACAUGGUGUAGCUUAAAAACACUGAAUCCACAAGAUAGUAAGAGUAGUGUUAAGUGUAUACUACACACUCAAUAUUAUAUAUUUGAGCAAUAAAUUUAUAUGUAAUUUUGUAUUAACCUUUAAGCCAUAAAUGCCCACACACUUAAUAUGAUGUUAUUUUUGAAGUUUACAUAAUGCUGUAGUUUUUUAAUGAAUUUGAAUGUGUUAUAGACUAAAAAAUUAAUUGAUCUAACAAUCAAACCUGAACAAUAAGGAGAGGUUGCUAAAAAAGUGGAAAUUCAACACAAAUUUUGGCAUAUGGUUCUGCACACAACUAGGGUUUACAUUAGUAUUUACCGUAAAGAUGGAAGGAAAUAAGUUGUUGGAAAAGUGAAAUAACUUAAUUUAUUUGUUUUACCAAUAAAAGAAUUUUACUUUAAGAGCUUAUUAAUGUUUAUCUAUAAAUUAUUAAGUAUAGAAUGAGCAGUAAGGUUUUGAUAAGUGAGAUGAUUAAAGAGAAAAAUCCAUAUUUAGAUAUUUCUUUACCCCAAAAUAUAUAUUUGUCUUUUUCAUUUUUUGCUGUUUUAAUUAGUUUAAAUUCUUUCUGAACAUAAAUGUAUAAAUUCCCAUUAAAAUUGAACAGGAAGGAUUUAUUUUCUUUCACUGUUAGCAUAUAAAAUAUUUUUGCUGUGGCAGUAUAUAAAAUAUUUUUGCUGUGGAAUGGAAAGAUGUUCAUUAUUUAAAGAAUGAAUUUUACAUAUUUCUCUUCUCAAUAAAUGUUUUAUUCAUUUUCCAGGUUAGCACUCUAUGUAUAUGAAUAUCUGCUCCAUGUAGGAGCUCAGAAAUCGGCCCAAACAUUUUUAUCAGAGGUAUGUUUUAUAUAUUUUUUGUAUUGCAU
Molecule: long non-coding RNA, 84124 nt
Filed under: Marmota monax (woodchuck)
Lineage: Eukaryota; Metazoa; Chordata; Mammalia; Rodentia; Sciuridae
Source: RNAcentral